This 55205-nucleotide long non-coding RNA is filed under the name Ananas comosus (pineapple). RNAcentral's name for it is "long non-coding RNA (ACOM_LNC043363)". Lineage: Eukaryota; Viridiplantae; Streptophyta; Magnoliopsida; Poales; Bromeliaceae. The record is from RNAcentral.
GCGUCUUCCGACGUCUGCCUCGUGAAGAUGCGGGAGAAAGCGAGCAUGCGCAUGAGGCGGCGGAGCUGCGGAAGUCUGGCGGCUGGGAGAUCGAGCGCGGCGACGAGGUCGGGGACGGAGGUGGGGCCGCCGUGGCGGUGGAUGGCGUCGGGUAUGCCGAGCUCGACGGCGCACUUGAGCGACAUGGAUUUGAGGAAGACGAACAGGUGGUUCCAUAAGUCGGAUUGAGCCGCGAUGAGUAGAUCGUCGUCCCAGUACUGCUCCAUGAUUUGUUGCUCCAACAAUAUAUUCUACUCGUCGGUGUUUCUUAAUUAAAUAUAUAAGUAUGAAAUAUAGUUCUUUACCAUUUUUUUAUAUUAUUAGCUAGUGUGUGGCCGGGAAUAGAGGGGAGGAUAAGGGCUCCCUCAAACACCAAUUUAGGGGGUGCCCACCCCAAAAGAGUUAUGCAGGAUAAUUAUUGAUUACUGCAUUUCUGGAAUGACUAGGUAUAAUUUAAAGAGAAUCAAGAUAUUAUUUUUUAUACUUAAUUUACAACAACACUUACAAAUACUGUAAACAUUUUUUUGUUUCCAAUUUUUUUUCUUCAUUAUUGAAGAAAAAAUUGUGGUGUUGUCGGAAUCAUCUUUUUUGAAAGAUAUUUUUAUUGUGAUCACGUCCUCCGAAAACGUGCCUUUUGGGAUCAACAGAUGAGAAGAAUUUCAGUAAGAAAUUUAACAUAGAGUCAGAGAUUGUUACAAUACUAAACAGAUUUCAAAAAAUAAUUUUAACAUUGUUGGUUGUAUGGAACAUCCAGAUGAAUACUAAUUAAAGAUAUUAUACUUAAAAAUUUUUAUUAUAAUGUAUAUAAAAAUAUUCUAAUGAAUAUUUUGACUGUAUUUUUUUAAUUAUAAUUUCUUCAAUCUUUAAUUCUUAAAAUUUUAUAUAAUAAUUAAUUAAAAUAAUAUUUAUUUGCAGCAAAACGCAAGUCUAAUACUAGUCCACUUUAAAGGGUGUAUAUGGUACGAUAGAAAAAGGAUCGAUUGUGCUGGCAAGGAUAAAGACAUGAAAAAAAAGAUCGUAGGAGAGCUCUGUAUCCAAUCCCUUCUCUUUGGGCCAUCUUUUCUUAUGCAUGCAUCGCGCGUUCAUCUUUCCUUUCUUCCAAGCAAGCCGCCUAUAGAAGGAUUAAUCUGCUGUGCUUUUUGGCUUUCGUUGAUUAUUAUACCGGAGAGUGAUGUUCCCGGGCAAGCCAUUAAUUAUUUAAUUAGUUAAUCAAUUAUAAAAAUAAAUCAAUUAUUAUGUAAAUACUUAUUAAUUUAAUUAUUUAAUAAUUAAUUAGCUAAUUAUUUAAAAAUUUUAAUUAUAUUAAUUAAUAAUAUUUUAUAAUGAUUUAUAAUUUAAUUAGUACAUAAAUAAGAUAGAGGAUAAUUUAUUCUAUUUAAUAGGCGAAACUACUAUUUUUCUCUCUUACCAGGUGAUUUCAAAAUAAUCCAUUAAGGCUGCGUUUGGUUACAGGAUUUAAUAGGAAUAACACAUUUUAUUCUUGCAAUUCUGCCAAGCAUAAGUAAAAUUGGAAGGGAUAUUUACACUACUACAGGUACAAGAUUUAGUGGCGACAAAUGUUGCCAUCAUAGCCAAAAUUGUCGCUACGAAAAACGUUUUGGCGGCGACAAUUUGUCGCCGCAUGCCGCUGCCUAAAAUUCCGUCGGUAAAACUAUUUGGUGGCGACAUAUAGUCACCGCGAAAAGUUAGAUAAUUAGCGGCGACAUACUGUCGCCGUCAAAACUUUAAAUAAUUAAUUUUAUGUCUACUUUUAUGGUGGCGACUAUUGUCGCCACCAAUUUUUUGAUCUAAAAUUAAUUUUUUUAAAAAAAUAAUUAGUAGUAAUAGAUAUUAUUAAUUUACUAUAAAAAUUUUAAUUGCUCUCAUUCUUAACUUUUAACCUUUAAUUUCAAUUUAAUCCUCUCAAAACCAAAUUAAAUCCAAGCACAUGGCUCAAACACCUUAGAACCAAUAUAUAUUAAAUCUAGUUGAAUCUCUAUAAAGUAUUUGAUCAUAAAAUUAAUCCACACAAAUAAGUAAGACUGAAUCAAAUUUUAAAUAUUAAGAAGAGUACAAAUAAUCAUAUAAGGCAAAUAAGUAACUUAAAUUGUCUCACAAGAACCAUAUUAGAGUAUCAUUGUCAUCUUAUACAAUCACCCAACACAUCCACAAAAUAAAAAACAAUAAUAGUGUUUUUGUCAUUUCUACAUGCUAUCAAAUAUAAAUUUAUCAAAAUAUGUCUAAAUUCUUAAAUUUGAUUCAAUACGUCACGAAAAUACUGCCAAAAUAUUUCUCGUCACACCUCUUAUAAAUCUGCAAAUAAAAAUAAAAAAAAAUUAGCUUUUCAACAUUUGUUGAUCCCUAAAUUGAUGACGGAAAUAAUAUAAGAAUAAAAAGACCAAGUACAUAGAUAACAAUGUCGGCUAUGAAUAAUAUAACAGACAGAAACCAACAUUAAUUCAAUUCACGUAUCCAUGUAUAACUACAAUGGUUAAACAUGUCAGGCAAUAUGGCAUCAAUGAUUCCAGAAGGCAACAACAAAAAAAAUAAGCUUAUCAGGAUGUAGACAAUAUGCUUACCAGGAUGUAGACAUCUCGGCCCUGCAUAAAAAAUACAAGAACAAUUAUGAUAUAAAAAGACGAAAAGGGUUCAUUUCAAACGAUCAAAUAAUUGAGGGGUCCUCAGCAUUUUCAAUCUCCAUAUCAAUUAUGUAUUCUCCAGAGAAAAAAUAACUGUUCAUCUAUAAGCAUAACAUUUCUAAAUGUAACGAGGAAAAAGAAAUUCAUAGGAGGGCACAGAUGUCAAUCAAAAGGCAACAAAGAAAACAUUCCAAAGGCCAGCAAAUUCAACGACUAUAAUAUCAAUGCUUUUACUAGAAUAGAUGUCAGACAUCUUACGUUCAAAAUAACAUCCAGUUGUAAAGAUUACAAUUACAAUAUUAUUUUCACGGGCUUUAAAAACAAAAGCUAUCAUUCUUUGAGUAAAAUACAAACUUGCCAAAACUUCUAUUGGUACAUAUCAUAAUCACUAGCGACGCCAGAUCCAGAUCAUAAAUACAAUCAAAUCAAACUGUAGCAGAAGGUGGACAAGUGGGUAGUUUGGGUUGGGAACUAAAAAAGGGGGUUGGCUCAUGAUUCUAGUUUGAAGAAACUAGGUAGGAAAAGAUAAACAACAGAGUAAUAAGCUUAAGCACAAGGUAAACCUUUUAACAACCAUAGGAUUACACCUAUCACAAUAUCGACAACUGCAUAAAUGCACUGGGUUUCACCUAUCUCGAUAUUGACAACUGCAUUAAUGUUUGUAAACCAAAACUAAUGCACGAAGGGAUUGAAUGAGGCAGACAAGAUAAACAGUCAAUAAUUGCUGAACAUGGAAGUUCCAUUCAAAUAACUGUAAAACAGAAAUAAUUGCUGAACAUGGAAGUUCGAUAAUUGCUUAGUGCAGUAUAAAUCAACUUAGUCUACAAUGCAAACUCAACAUUAGAGGAAAGAACCGAUGAAAGUUCCGAUAGAUCAGCUACCUCAAUAGAACUGUCCGUGUCUGGAGAAGGAAGAGGAGGAAGAGGAGGAAGAAGAAGAAGGGUAAAUACGUCAAUUCACACUAUAAUUAACCAUGGUUAAGUAUUUUAACCGUGGUUAACGAAAAUUUUCUACCAGAUCUGGACGGCAGGGACAUAUCUGCAUAACUUAGGACUUUUGUAGAGACAACUUAUGGAGUUUCCGUUUUGCAGAAAUAUUUUCACAAUUCACUAUGUUUGUAGGGACGUGUAUACAAAUAACCCUAUUAUUAAUAGUAGUAAAAGGUAAAUAAACAAAAGUCCAUACUAUUUUAUCCAACAAUCACAAUUCAUAACAAGCUCCAAGUCCAACUAAAAGUUCACCUCGAAAGAAAUUUCAUUUUAAGGAAACACUUCAAUAACUGAUCGAAGUCCAAGCGUGGCAGCAAUCUUAUAAUCACUGAACCCCGCCUCAGUGAAUAUUUUGCACCAUUCCUGCUCAUCUCUCUCGCGUCCCCCGGUCAGGAUCAUCAUCCACACGUCGAAGAAGUGCUGCAUCUCCGUCGACUUCUCUUCCGGGCUCGACCCUAUCACCUGCUCCACGACGAUCACCUUCCCUCCGGCCUCUCUCGAUGGGAUCGCCUCCUUGCACUUCUGCAGUAUCCUCACGCAAACUUCAUCGUCCCAGUCAUGCAGAAUCCACUGUGAUCAUCAGUUUAUUUUGUGAAGUGCCAACAACUUAACUAUAUAUAGAGUGUUCUAAUUAACCAAAAUUGUAAAAUCCAAUAUAAACAUAUAUCCUAAGUAACCACCAUUUAGAGUAGCUAGUUGUUACUCUGAAGACUGUACUUAAAGUCGAUUAGGAGGCUCGAAAUUUCACUCAUGCGUAUCAAACAAAAGAGCUUUGAGUUCCCAACUUCUCGGAUUACAAGUAGUAUUAAUUUUGCAGUAGUUUGGUAGUGGAAAGAAAGCAGGAGCGGAAUUUUAUUUUGACCUUCAACAUCACAGCAUCCGCCGGAGGAACGCGCUCGACCAUGCUGCCCGCGACAAAGUCAACGGGCCCGUCGAUGGUUCCUAGGGGAACUGAGAACAACGGGCCCGUCGAUGGUUCUGAAACAAUCUGUUAAAAAUUGUUCUAAGGAAACUGAGAACAACUUUGUUCUUCUCUUUAUUUUACUAGAUAAAUAGAUAUAUAAAUAAAUAUAUUAAUAUAAAUAUUAUUUUUAUGAUAAUAUAUUUAUACUUAAAUUUUAUUAUAUAAUAUAAAUUAAUUAAAUUUGAUAUAUUAUUUAUUUUAUUAUGUUUUAUUAUUUAUAUAUUAAUAUUUAAUUAUUUUUUUAUAUUCAGUAUUAUAUAUAUAAUUAUUUUUUCAUGCAUUAUAUAUUUUUUAAAAUUUGUAUUGAAAUUUAUACUAUUAUUAAUUAAAAUUAUAAGAAUAUCUCUACAUAUAUUAUAAAUAAAUUAUAUAAAAUAAAUUGUUAUUAUAUAUAGUAAAAUAAAUAUACUAUUUUAAAUUAAAUUGUUACAUAAAAUAUUAUAUUAUAAAUUACUAUAAGAAAUAAUUUAUAAAUAAUUUUAUAUAAAAUAUACUAAUAUAAAUUAAUUAUUUUAUUUUUAAAAAAUAUUUAAACAUUGUUCUACACUUUUUAUCCAAACGCUAAUAAGGAUAUUCUCUAGAAUAUUUCCGAAUGCAUUCAAAUAUAAAUUUAUAAUUGUUCUUUCUCCAAAACUUAGUUCUCUAACCAAACGCACUCUUAGGAGUAUAUUAGAAAUAGAUUGGAACGUAAAAAAAAGUAUUUUCAAUAUUAGUCUUGUAAGAGGACUAAAUCAGAAAGUCAGAAAUUUUUCAGAAAUAUAUAGAUAAUUGCCGCUAAUUAAAAAUACAAUAGUUAUAAUUAUAUGCAUUUUAUUUGAUUUGAUAUAGUAGAAUAGUUAUAAUUAGAAAUAAUUUGUUUAGUUACAUACAAUUCAAAUAAUAAUGUUGGUUAACAGCAGCUUAUUCACCUUUAACAUCACGGCAUCCGCCGGAGGAACGCGCUCGAACAUGCUGCCCGCGAUAAAUUCCACGGGCCCGUCUGCCGGCAGUCCCUGGACCACCUGAGGCAGAUCGAGAACCACACACUUGACGUCCGGAAAUGCCUCUACUAUGGUGCGGGCGGCAGCGCCGGUCCCCCCACCGACGUCAACCAGUGACCGCAGCCCGCAAAAGACAUGCCCGCAUUUCCUGACGACCACGUCCAUUAUGAACCUCCCGUCCGCCGCCAUGCCCUCGUUGAACGCCGCGUUGAACUCCGGGUUCCGGCUCGUCAAGCCCCAGAUAUUGCUUCCGUACAGCGCCUCAAAUGGCGUCGCGAUGCCGUCGGCUUCUUUAAACCAGUCGCCUAAGCGCAGCGACGGCGCCAUCAUCACCGGGUCGAACAUCGAGCGCACAAACGGCGCGAGGCUGCGGCGGCCUCCGGCGUCGUCGACGAGCAGGCGGGACGUCGGCGUGAGGCCGUACAAAUCCUCCUCCUCCCCGCCGGCGGCGGCUUCCGACGUCUGCCUCGUGAAGAUGCAGGAGAAAGCGAGCAUGCGCAUGAGGCGGCGGAGCUGCGGAAGUCUGGCGGCUGGGAGGUUGAGCGCGGCGACGAGGUCGGGGACGGAGGUGGGGCCGCCGUGGCGGUGGAUGGCGUCGGGUAUGCCGAGCUCGACGGCGCACUUGAGCGACAUGGAUUUGAGGAAGACGAACAGGUGGUUCCAUAAGUCGGAUUGAGCCGCGAUGAGUAGAUCGUCGUCCCAGUACUGCUCCAUGAUUUGUUGCUCCAACAAUAUAUUCUACUCGUCGGUGUUUCUUAAUUAAAUAUAUAAGUAUGAAAUAUAGUUCUUUACCAUUUUUUUAUAUUAUUAGCUAGUGUGUAGCUGGGGAUAGAGGGGAGGAUAAGGGCUCCCUCAAACACCAAUUUAGGGAGUGCCCACCCGAAAAGAGUUAUGCAGGAUAAUUAUUGAUUACUGCAUUUCUGGAAUGACUAGGUAUAAUUUAAAGAGAAUCAAGAUAUUAUUUUUUAUACUUAAUUUACAACAACACUUACAAAUACUGUAAACAUUUUUUUGUUUCCAAUUUUUUUUCUUCAUUAUUGAAGAAAAAAUUGUGGUGUUGUCGGAAUCAUCUUUUUUGAAAGAUAUUUUUAUUGUGAUCACGUCCUCCGAAAACGUGCCUUUUGGGAUCAACAGAUGAGAAGAAUUCCAGUAAGAAAUUUAACAUAGAGUCAGAGAUUGUUACAAUACUAAACAGAUUUCAAAAAAUAAUUUUAACAUUGUUGGUUGUAUGGAACAUCCAGAUGAACACUAAUUAAAGAUAUUAUACUUAAAAAUUUUUAUUAUAAUGUAUAUAAAAAUAUUCUAAUGAAUAUUUUGACUGUAUUUUUUUAAUUAUAAUUUCUUCAAUCUUUAAUUCUUAAAAUUUUAUAUAAUAAUUAAUUAAAAUAAUAUUUAUUUGCAGCAAAACGCAAGUCUAAUACUAGUCCACUUUAAAGGGUGUAUAUGGUACGAUAGAAAAAGGAUCGAUUGUGCUGGCAAGGAUAAAGACAUGAAAAAAAAGAUCGUAGGAGAGCUCUGUAUCCAAUCCCUUCUCUUUGGGCCAUCUUUUCUUAUGCAUGCAUCGCGCGUUCAUCUUUCCUUUCUUCCAAGCAAGCCGCCUAUAGAAGGAUUAAUCUGCUGUGCUUUUUGGCUUUCGUUGAUUAUUAUACUGGAUAGUGAUGUUCCCGGGCAAGCCAUUAAUUAUUUAAUUAGUUACUCAAUUAUAAAAAUAAAUUAAUUAUUAAGUAAAUACUUAUUAAUUUAAUUAUUUAAUAAUUAAUUAGUUAAUUAUUUAAAAAUUUUAAUUAUAUUAAUUAAUAAUAUUUUAUAAUGAUUUAUAACUUAAUUAGUAUAGGAAUAAGAUAGAGGAUAAUUUAUUCUAUUUAAUAGGCGGAACUACUAUUUUUCUCUCUUAUCAGGUGAUUUCAAAAUAAUCCAUUAAGGCUGCGUUUGGUUACAAGAUUUAAUAGGAAUAACACAUUUUAUUCUUGCAAUUCUGCCAAACAUAAGUAAAAUUAGAAGGAAUAUUUAAUUCCAGUCAAAGCGAGUUAUUCUAGAUAAUUCUACAAUAAUCCGUUAACAACUAUUCAUCUCCAACAGUGGAAUAGCUGUGUCCUUCAAUUUAUACCCAAAGCAGUAAAUGCAAAAGGUGCCUCGUUGUUUGAGCUCACUUGCCCUACUCUAUACUCAGCCAAAUGCCUCUUUAGUUAAAACUUUUUACAAUUUUUUAUAUUAUUGUGUAUACAAUUUUUGGUCAGCUAUAUCUAAGGUAAAAAUAUUUUAUAAUUAAUUAUUAAAAUAUUUGAUUAGCUAUAUCUAAGGUAAAAAUAUUUUAUAAUUAAUUAUUAAAAUAUUUUAUAAAUAAUACGAAUAUUAAAAUAUUAAAUAUAAUUUUCUUUCACCAAAAUAUUUUAUUGCAUAUAUUAUAUUUUAUAUGAAGUAUUGUUCAUUUUAUUAAAUAUUACAUAUAAAAGAGGCACACACAAGGGCAAUAUUGACAUUUUAGAAAAAUUCAAUCUACUUUUACUAUUUUUCUCUAUUAUUCCUAAGCAAUUUUCCAAACAUAAAUUUUCUUAUUCUUCUGAAAAAGAGAAUUUCAUACCAAAUAUAAAAUUCAUUUUAUUCUUCUGUAUCCUAGAAUACACCUUAAAUCCAAGAAUAAAAAUAUUUAUACUUCUAAAUAUUAUUCCAUUACCAAACACAGCUAAGGAUAGUAAUUCUUAUUCUCUCUUUAUCUCUAGAACCUAACAUGACCUUGAUGAAUGCUUUAAAACUCGGGAACCGGUUCGUAUCAAAUAAGAUGUUGUAUCAUGGCUCAACUUAUUCAACGAAUAGUUUGAUUGAUCGGUCGAACCAGUGAUGUCAGCAUGAUAUCACAUACAAUAAGUUAUUAAUUUUUUGUGUAAAGUAAUAAAGUUAAAGAAGAUAAAUAAAUAUAAGGUAAGUUGCUCGUUUGGUUAUCAAACUUUGAGAUUGGUAACAUUUUGAUGGUCCUCAAAUUUUAAUUUGUUAUAAUUUAGUUUUGAAUUUUUAAAAAUAUUGCAAUCAAGUCUAUAAUCCAAUAUAGGUGAUUAAAUACUGUUGUAUUUCUAAUCUCUACAAAUUCUUGGAUGAGGAUUUAUAGAGAUAACCCUUUUUGGAUUUUUUUUGGGUAAACUUCAAAUACCACCCCUGUGGUAAAAUUGUCAAAAAUAUCCGAUAUACCAUAUCCGAUCCGGACCAAAAUCGGAUCCUAUCUGGACCUGAACCAGACCCGAUAAAAAAUGAAUAGUAUACGAAUAAAAAAAAUUAUCCAUUAACAUUUUGGAUAUGGGUCCAGAUAUGUUAUACUUAUAUCCGUUUUGGAUCCGAACGAACCCAACUUUUAAAUGGGUAAAGUCUGAAAUAGUUUUUAAAUCCGGACUCAAACCAGGACCCAUUGAAAUGUCCGAUAGUAAAUGAAAAAGAUUUGAAUUUUUGAGAGAUUAUUAGAAUGAGGGGUCUCUAAGUAUUUUCAUUAUAAUGAAACACUAAAACUUUAGCCGCUCUUUUACUCUAUUUUUUUUUCACUUUUUUUACUUUUUAUUUUUUUGUUCCAUUUCCGCCUAAGAGUUUUUUAUGAAACAAUAUUUUUAUCGUCGUCAUUAUCAGCGAUAUUACCUACCGGCGUGGCACGAGUUAGUUUUUUUCUAAAUUCCUUCUCCAAUUAAUCACAGUCGGCAACCUAGUUUUUUUAAUGAAUAUUCUAUUUAGUAAUAAUUUUCUAAUUUCCCUUUUUUUUUGAAUGUUAGUGUAUAAUAUUAGUAAUUACUACGACUUAUAUUCUAUUUAUAAAUAAUAUAGUAUCAUAAUUUUUUUAUUUUUGUGUGUUUACAUAUGAAAUUGUUUUCAAUUUUAGGCUUUUAAUCAAUUAAUGUAAUGGCUGAAACACGUUCUGUCCGUACUUGGUCUUGAAUGGAUAGUAUAUGAGUAAUCACUAUUCAGACCCGUUCAAAUAGAUCCGAUGGGUAUAUUAGUAACUUAAGUACCUAGGUCCUGACCCGACCCGAAGUUAAAUGGGUAGAUUUUUUUUUUCUGACCAUUUCUUUUUAGGGUACGGAUAUAGUAUAUCAACUAUCUAGAUUUGACCCGAUCAACAGACAUCUUUACCCUGUGGUUUCGCACUUUCUCACUUUAGUACCAUGUGAUUUAAAAUGUAUCAAUUUAGUAUCUUAUAAUUUCUUUCUUUUUUUUCGUCAGCUCUUUUAACAUUUCUUUAAAUUAUAUACAAAAAACUUCAGCUACCCACUUAAAUUUAUCGAAUAUUCACUUUAGUAUCUUUUAGUUUUAAUUUUGUCACUAUUUAAUGAAAAAAAUUAGUGAAAAGAAUAAUAAAAAAAGAGAAAUAAAAUUAUGAGAUAUUAAAUUGAUAUAUUUUACAUCAUAGGAUACCAAAAUUAAAAAAAAGGGAAAUCAGAGGAGUGGUAUUUGAAGUUUUCUUUUUUUUUCUUUUUUUUUUUACGUGACCUGUAGCUAGGUUUGGCCCUAGAUAAGAGACCUCCGAAUUACACCCCAUGGUACACACUAGCUAAGUGUAACCUCUUUUGGCUAAAAAUAUUAUUUUUAUAUUAUAAAAAUUUAAAACUAAUUAAAAAAAUAUUUUUUUUUCUUAUUUUUUACUAUAAAAUUGAAGCUGCAUUUGCAAGCAUAAUUAAAAUUGGUAAGAAAUAAUUGUAAAUACUUUAAAAUUUUUAAAAUAUUUUAUAACAUAAGAAUAAUAUUUUUAACCAAUUUAUUAUCAAACAAGAUCUUUGUCUUCUCUUUUGAAAACAUUCUACUUGUACAUUUCAAAAGAGACGUAAAUUUUACACCCUUCCGUCUUUAAGUUCAUAAGAAUUUAAAUAAUUUAAAAUAAAAAUAAAUAAAAAUUAAUGUAAAAUUAAUAUGAUAAAUAAUCGCCGGUAGUUGUUGAAUAAAAAGAGCGUCAAAUAUACAACUCACUUUGAAAUAUAAUACAAUAGCAUUGCUCCUCUUGCUUGUAGUUGAGUCUUGCUUGUAGUUUAGUUUUUGUUUGUUUCUUAAUUUAUGCUGUUUUUUGUUUUCUUCUUCUAUUUCGUUGUCUAUAUCCGAAAACAAAAGUGUCGUGGAUUACAAGUUGACAAUCAUGUUUGUGCACAGUUUUGAGUGGAUAGAGCAAAUGGCAAAAAAAAGGUUAAUGCUUUGGGGCCAAAGUAAGGAUUAGAAUCUUUAUGCACCUUUCAUGCAUUUUCAUAUUUAUAUAAGUUUAAAAAUUUAUGGUAAAAAUAUAUAAAAAAAUUAGACGAUCUGAUGAAUCGUAUUCAUAUGAAAAAUGUUAAAUUUUCUUUUUAUAGAUAAAACUAUAUAAAACCAAUAAUAUUCGUUUUUUUCUCGUAAAUUUUGUAGUAUGAACAUAUAAUUAUAUAUACCGACCGUUCCUAGAGCAAGUGGCAAAGAACUUGGUGGUUGGUAUCCGAGAUCCCAAGUUCGAAUCCUAGUUGAUUUAUAUUUCCAGCUAAAUUUAUUUCUAAAUGAAAUAAACGAAGCGGAUAGCGUGCUACCUAUCUCUCAAAAAAAAAAACAUAUAAUUAUAUAUGCACCCUAGAUAUUCAUUCUUAAUCUUUUUCUUUUCUUAAUUGAAAGCCCUUGAUUACAAACUUUUAAAUUAAAUUAUUCUAGUUAUUUCAGAUAUAUUAUUUUAUUUAGGGUGAGAAAACAAUUUUUGUUAAUCAUUUAUGUAUCAGAUAUAAGCGCUACUAGCCAAGUAAGCAAGAUAUGAUUGGUAUACAGAUUAAUUGAUCAAUUUAUUGGUACAGCAAAUAUUAUUCUAUUUUGUGUAAUAAAACAAAUUACAAAGUAUUUUUAAAGUACAGCUGUCCACUUCUGGGCAAGUGGAUAAGGAGGAAUUCUACACUGUCACAUUUGUACUACGUCAUCAAUAACAAGUCAAUCACAUUUUUUUUUUUCAAAUAAAAGUACAAUAAAAAUAUUUUUUGACAAUCAUGAUGGGACAUAUUCAUAAAAGGAGAUAUUUAAUUGGUUUGUUACGCCACGUUACCAAUAUACGCGUUACAUUCUAAAAUUUUUCGUGGAUAAGGGACUUUGGAUUCGGUACUAGCGGCGUACCCGCGCUUUGCUGCGGGUACGAUGGAUAUAUUUUUAAUUAUAUUUAUAAAAUAUAGUAUAUAUUUUUGUUAAAUAUAUAUAGUAAAUAUAUAUUUAUAUCAACAUUUGAUUUCAAAAUAUAAAAUUUUCUGAAGCAAAAAAAAAGUAAGUUUAUAAUAUGCUUAUUUUUUUAGGCCAGUUCGCCUAAAAGAUACAAAUCCUGUUUUUAUAUUUUGUGGCUUUUUAUUCUUCUAACUCUAUUUAGAUCAUUUUUGUUGAUUAAUAUAAGCAAUGUCAAGAAUUGAAAAUAUUAUGAUAAAAUAAAAGGUAGUUAUUUGAUUCAUAAUUUUUUAAUUGAUUGAUUUUAUGAUAUUUUUCUAGAAUUUAUAAAAAUAUAUUUAAUUUUGUAAAAAAUUCCUAACUUUCGAAAAAUUGAGUACCAAAUAGUUCUCAAAAGUCUAUAAACGUUGGAGAAAUUAAAUAUAAUGUUUUCAAAAUUAAGACGUACAAUACAUAAUUGAAAAAAGUGGGGGGUUCUCUAAUUGGUUUAAUAGUUGAUAGGCAAUAAAGCUAUUAAAUCUAACAAAAUUUUAAACCAAUUUAGAAUAUAUAUUUUAUCAACAAAAAAAAAGAACAUAUACAGUUAUGUUCAAAUACCCUUAAAAUCAUAUCUUUCAAAUGCAAAAUUAAAAACUCAAUGCGUUAGUAGUAAUGGAGGAAGAUAUGGUGGUUGACCUCGACAAAUCGGGCUGGAGCCUCAUCUCAGCAUCUUCAUUGGCUGCGGCAACGACGAUGGCUUCGAAAGAAGUGCAGCAGUGCGCUACAGCGUGGCGCUAUUGCUGCGAUUCACUUCGCUUUGGACUCUUCGAAGUUGCAGUUGAUUGGAUUGACACCUAUAAAAAUCUAAAUCGGAGGUGUCGAUGUAUCAGGUCGACAAAGAGCGAAAAAAGGAGAGGUGCCAGUUGCUAGGAUGUGGCGUGGGGAAAGGGUGUCAAUCAAAGUGAUGGCCAGAGAGGUAAGAAAGUAGAAGGGGACAAUAUUGCCUGAACCUGACAUAUGUCACAUAUCCCUCCACACAUGCAUUAUAUUUAAAAUUUUUGUAACCAAUCUAUAAUACAUUGGGUCCAAGUAAUAUUUAAAUAUUUAAACGCAUACAUGUGUCAACAAAAAAAACCACCUCCAUAGGCUCUAGUAUAUAGUAAUAGAUGGUAUAGGGGCUUAGGGGUUUGGAGCCUAUAAGCAUGCUAAAAAAAUCAAAAAAAAAAGGAAAAAAAAGAUGGUGCAUAGCAAACCCUCUGCCAUAAAUUAAAAAAAAAAGAUUUUUUGCUUAUUUAUUCUUAAUAGUAUUCAAAGAUUUUAAACUUAUUCUAAAAUUAUCAAAGAUAUUUUUCUAAAACUAAAUCCUACUAGUAAAUCCGGAAAAAAAAAAAAACAAGAAUAUUUGAAGGAAGAGAGUGGGUGAGAGGUCCACAAGGAUUCUGUGCUUGCGGCAUUGCGGUGAGCUGCAUAAUUUGUUUCUUGAGUUUUCAUUUUCCGACGAAAAUCGGCAAAAAAUGAAAAUACCUUUCCUUCUAAAAAAAUAAGUUUUUGAAAAAAAAUUUACGUCUCAAUUAACAAUAAAAUUAAAAAUAAUAUUUUAAACCAAAAAAUAAUUUUUUGUAUAUUUUAGAACAAUCCAAACAUAGCCUAAAGUUCUAAUUUUUAGGCUAAUAUGACCUUAUAUGAAUAAUGUUUGUUGGCUUAAAUGGGCCAGUAUCCUGCCCUGUGGCGAGAGGUCAUGUGGGUCUAGUCAUGUUCGAAAUGGCAUGAGGCUGGGUUGGGCCGAGUCAUGUUCGAAGUGGCGUGAGGUUAGGUUGGCCGAGUCACAAUCGAGACCCGUGGGCACUGUUUCUGUACGCUUUAAGUGAAUUGGUUGUGUAUUUCUAACAGCUCGAGCUUUUGGGAUUAAUGGUUAGCGCCAACGAUCCGACAAUGUUAAGGCCACGAAGACCCAUAAGACUUUCACGUUAGACAUAGAAAUGAAAAAACAAAAAAAGGGUUUUUUUUGCAUUUAGCCCCCUAACAAAUUUUUAUUUUAAAAAUAACCCUGUCAAAAUUUAAUUUACAAAAAUGACACUGAACCUGCCACGCAGGCGCCACGUCAGCCCCACGCGGGCGGGGCCAGGGCCAAUGUAUUAAGUUAAAUACGGUGAACCAUUCACCGUGUUUAGACACGGUGAAUGGUUCACCGUGUUUAACUUAACACAUUGGCCCUGGUCCCGUCCGCAUGGCGCUGACGUGGCGCCUGCGUGGCAAACGCACGGCCAUUUUUGGAAAUUAAAUUUUAAGAAGACUAUUUUUAAAAUAAAAAUUUGCCGGAAGGCUAUACGCAAAAAAAGUUCCAAAAAAAACACACACACACAUACAAAAGGAGGCCACAGCUAUUAAUUUUUGUAUUUUUUCACAAGGUGAAACUCAAAGAAGUCUUAUCCACUCAACAAUCACAUUCAGGUGACACUCAAAAACAUCUUAUUAUUCUUUAACCCCUAUUAUUAUUAAGGGUUAUUUGUAUACACGUUCCUGCAAAUAUAGUGAAUUGCGAAAAUAUUCCUGCAAAACGGAAACUCCAUAAGUUGUCUCUGCAAAAGUCCGAAGUUAUGCAGAUAUGUCCCUUCGGUUAACAUCCGUUAGUGAUCUAUUUAUUUUUUAACAGUGGAUUCGUGAAAUGACCAUUUUACCCUCACAAAUAUAUCCUCAAAAAUGUUUUCCUCUUCCCUUCUCUUUCCUCUUCUUCCUCUUCCGGACCGUCAAAGCGGACGCGAGUGGUGCUGCUUGUGCCACGCGACGGCGGCGCGGGGACAUCGGGUUUCGCCGGCGACGAAGAAGAGGGAAGAACGCCGGGGGCACGGAGCCUACUACCGAGAGCUCGUCUCCCUCAACGCCGUCCCCUCCCUUACUCGUCGGCUCUCCUCGGCCCCACGACAUCGCCGACAUCCAGUGUCAACAUCGUCUCCCUCCUCACCGACACUCUACCGACGCCGGGACGUCGCUCGGCGACCACGGACGACCCCGCGCACGCCCUCGUCCCAGCCUCGUCGAAAACAACGCCCUCGAGCUUUCCGUCCAGAAACUCACAACGCCUUUCCGAGGCGACCCCCGACGGAGGUUCUUCUCCCUCGCUGGUGACGAAGAAGAUGGAAGAGAAGAGGAAGAAGGAAGAAAAGAAAAAGGGAAAAGCAGGAAGAGGGAAGAGGAAAAGUAGAGGGUUCGCCACCGUCGCCGCCGUCUGCUUGCGGAUCGUCAUCUCCUCGCCGCGACGAAGAGAAGGAAGAGCGAAGAGCCGAGGAAGAGGAAGAAAGUAAAUAUCGUCAAUUCACACUAUAAUUAACCAUGGUUAAGUAUUUUAACCGUGGUUAACGAAAAUUUUUUAACAGAUCUGGACGGCAGGGACAUAUCUGCAUAACUUAGGACUUUUGUAGGAACAACUUAUAGAGUUUCCGUUUGCAGAAAUAUUUUCGUAAUUCACUAUAUUUGCAGGAACGUGUAUGCAAAUAACUUUAUUAUUAAUAGUAGUAAAAGGUAAAUAAACAAAAGUCCAUACUAUUUUAUCCAACAAUCACAAUUCAUAACAAGCUCCAAGUCCAACUAAAAGUUCACCUCGAAAGAAAUUUCAUUUUAAGGAAACACUUCAAUAACUGAUCGAAGUCCAAGCGUGGCAGCAAUCUUAUAAUCACUGAACCCCGCCUCAGUGAAUAUUUUGCACCAUUCCUGCUCAUCUCUCUCGCGUCCCCCGGUCAGGAUCAUCAUCCACACGUCGAAGAAGUGCUGCAUCUCCGUCGACUUCUCUUCCGGGGUCGACCCUGUCACCUGCUCCACGACGAUCACCUUCCCUCCGGCCUCUCUCGAUGGGAUCGCCUCCUUGCACUUCUGCAGUAUCCUCACGCAAACCUCAUCGUCCCAGUCAUGCAGAAUCCACUGUGAUCAUCAGUUUAUUUUGUGAAGUGCCAACAACUUAACUAUAUAUAGAGUGUUCUAAUUAACCAAAAUUGUAAAAUCCAAUAUAAACAUAUAUCCUAAGUAACCACCAUUUUUAGAGUAGCUAAUUCUUACUCCGAAGACUACACUUAAAGUCGAUUAGGAGGCUCGAAAUUUCACUCAUGCGUAUCAAACAAAAGAGCUUUGAGUUCCCAACUUCUCGGAUUACAAGUAGUAUUAAUUUUGCAGUAGUUUGGUAGUGGAAAGAAAGCAGGAGCGGAAUUUUAUUUUGACCUUCAACAUCACAGCAUCCGCCGGAGGAACGCGCUCGACCAUGCUGCCCGCGACAAAGUCAACGGGCCCGUCCAGCUGUGCAAGCCCUGGACGCACCUGAGCAGAUCAAGACUGACACAUUGACGUGGGCGGAAAUGCUCCGCGCGACUACGCGGGCGGCAAGCGCCGGUCCCCCCGGACCGUCCGACCUAGUCGACCGCGCAGCCCGCGGAAACAUCGCGGCGAUUAUUCUGACGAACUCACGAUUCCAUUAGAACCUCCAGCCGUCGCGCAUCACCCAUCGUUGGAACACCGCUACAGGCGGCGUUGAAAACUCCGGUUUGCCGUCAAGACGCCCCCAGCAUAACGCUCCGUGUACCAGGGCCGUCGCACCGGGGCGUCGACGCGCCGUCAGCUGCUUAAAAGUCCCUCGUGCAGGCACGCGGCGUGUGCACCUGGGGAUUCGAGCAUGACGGCACGAACGGCCGAGACUAGCGGCGGCCACCGCGUCGUCGCGGAGCAGGCCGGGAUUCGCGUGAGGCCGUACAAUGCGCUCCCCGGUCAGGCGGCUAAUCCGAACCCAUCUGCCUCGUGCAAGAGCGCGCGGAGAAAGCAGCGUGCGAGCGCCUUCCACACCUCUCUUCAACAAUCUCUCAUCUAGACCCCCCUCCCUCUCCCGAAGCGCUCGCCAGUCGCAGCCGCCCCUGCCGCUGUCACCCCCGCUGCCACUACAACAGAAUUAGGUUAUAGAGACACAUGUUUGAAACACUUUUGUGUAAGUGUCCAAUUUAUGCCAAAACUUAAAAAAAAAAUCUACUAAUGCCUAAAUAUAAAGUCCAAUCCAACAAAAAAUAAAAGGUUACUCUAUUCAACCCACUCCACCCAGCCCAUUCGGCCCGAUUACAAACAGAAACGAAAAAAAAAAGAAAAAUCGAUUACCAUUUCCCCUUCUCCUCUCACUCAAUCGACUGAAAUCCUAGACGAAGAUCCCUUCCUCUCAUCCUCCUCCCCCACCGCAGCCAACGAGGUAGAGUUCUGGCGACUGCUAAAUGCUUAAAUAAAUAUUGGUAAAUUAGCAGCACUUUUUUAGGUUAUAAUGACACUCUUUAACUGUCACUAUAUACCUAGCGUCCCCAUAUAUAGCAACACUUUUUAAAAGUAUCGGUAAUUUAGCCAGCAGCACUUUUUUUUACCUGUACCGACAUUUAAAAGUAUCGCUAUAGACCGUUUUUGUUGUAGUCGCCGCUCGUCGUCGCCCCUGCCAAGCCCGCUGCCUCAUUAUAGAGCCUACAUUGUGCUCUCUUCCCUUCCACUAAUUGUGCUUUUCGUUGUCGACGUGUACCGACCUCGCCCUCGCUAACGUGCAAGUAGUUCCUGAACUCUUCUUUUACUUUCUUUGCUGUUUGUUGGCAUUGUUGGCAUUGUGGACACAUCACAUGGCAAUAAGCUAAAAAUAUAAAAAUUAGGCUUUAAAAUUGGGACAUAUUUUACCAAUUGUUAAGCCAUUAGCCAUCAAGUGCGAGAUAUGUUGAGUACAUUGGGAGGGUUUAGUUGGAAAAUAGAUAAGACCCAGAUAAGCUGACAUGUUAUUCCGAUAAUGAAGAUUUGAAUCAUAGUAAUUAUCUUGAGAUUUUGCUUUAUGUUUAGUCAGAGAUUAUGAUAAGACGAUAUCAAACGAUGUCUUAAUUUCUGGUUUUUAAUAUGCCAACUCUUUUCUUCUCUUGGGAGUAGUAGUAAUCAUGUUCAGAUGCAACUUUUUGGUAAAUAUGAGCUCUUUUCUGUCAAAAGUCCUAAUGAAUUGAAACUUAAAAUGUAGAAAAGUUUAUCUGCCGUUCAGCAAUCAAUUGGCGAAGAAUGCAACAAACUUUCCCAAUAAUCUUUAUUGGAUUAUUCUGUGGGAUAGGGAAGCCUCCAUAUAGUCUCUUUCUUUUUUCAUUUAUUAUUUUUUUGUAUUAUAUUUACUAAAUAUUUUGAAAGGAGAUUUGAAAGUUUUUCUAUAUAGUUAAAAUGGUUAGUCGUCGAAUGUCUUUAGUGUUCAUUGGGAUGGACAAUUUGUUACAGAUGGAAAUGGUCCUCAAUAUGUCGGCGGUUGAAAGAAAUUGAUCGCAAUUUAUUCAGAUACGACAUUUACUAAUUUUGAGACGAGAAUAUAUUGUUUAGCAAAUUGUAGUAGAAAAGGAUUUCGUCUCAAAUUCACAAUUUGAUACCCUACGGGAGCAAAUUAAUAUAUAGCUCUCGAAAUAGUAGAUGAUAGAUCAUUGGAGGAAAUGAUUGGAUUGGUUGAACAUUAUGGAUGUGUGUCGGUAUAUAUCGAAAAAGAUUUAUAUCCGUCGAAAACACAAUAUCAAUCUUAAAACUAUUACACAAGACUACUUCAUAAUGAUAUCGAUGUGAUGUUUUUUCGGACAAUCCAAUUGGUGACUGUAAAGUUGGCAAAGAAACAGGCGUCAGAAUGACAAGGUAAGUGAAAUCUCUAGAUUUCAAUGAAUGUUUUCUUUAAUUAUUAAAUACUUUGAUAAUACUAAAUUAUAAAUACUGCAGAUAAAGUCAGUCUCCACAUGCGCAACCCUCAACAUCACAUGUGCAAUCCUCGACCUCACGUGUGCAACGCAUGACCUCACGUGGACAAACCAUGACCUCUUAUGUGGAACCCACGAUAUUCCAUACACUACCGACGAUCUCUUGUGCAGAACCUAUCAUGUCUCAUAUACAAUUGAAACCUUAUGAUUCGGGGUAAAGAAAAUUUUGAUUUUUUUUUUAUUAAUAGCAUGUGAAAAUGUACAUAAUAUAGUAAAGUUUCGGAACCCAUUGCAGGCUAUCUAUGUGCUAUGAACAUUGGAAUAAAGUUCCUACUAAUAUUGUCCAUGAAGGAGGUGAUAAUGAUAGUAAUCAAAAGGAUGCACUCAUUCAUUAUGAUGAUCAUUAUAACAGUAAGGACAACGAUUGGAAUGAUGUAGCUGCAAACAUUGAUGAUGAUCAUGAUGGUGGGUUAAAUUGUCUUGCGAAUGUAAUUUACACUGAAAACGACGACUCACAUGUAAACAACGAAUAUAUAGACAAUCCUGACGAGAAACUUGAUUGUAUUGACCAUCCGGAGCACUUUCCUGUAGAUAACAAUUGGAUAAAUCAAUAUGUUGUGGCUUUGGCUGAGUUCGAUGUUAAACAGACCAAUACCGGUCUACCUAGUAUUGACGGGACUUGGGUUCAUCGAAGCUUUUACGAUAAGGCAUCUUUAGUGGAUGCUCUAGAUCAAUGGCACAUUGCUCAUAAUGUUCAUAUGAAGAUUUUGAAAUCCACAAAACCGUCUUGUACGGUAAAAUACAUGAUUCAAGGAUGUCCUUGGAGAUUACAGCUUCAGUUCCUACAGAUGCAACAUACUUCAGAGUUAAGACAUAUACAGGUCAACACACAUGUGUAAUUCCAAUGCUAAAUGCAGACAUAUGCAGAUCAACACACAUGUGUAAUUCCAAUGCUAAAUGCAUCGCCACUGUAAUUGUACUUCAAGUUUCAUAUGUCAAGAGAUUCUCUCAAUAACGAAGGCAAGACUUAAUAUAACGCUAAAAGAAAUACAGAAAAUGGUGUGAUCCACUUUGCAUGUUGACAUAAACUAUUGGAAGGUAUAGCUAGCAAGGAGCAAAGUAUUACAGAUUAUUUAUGGGAGCUAGGAGCAAUUAUACACAGACUUGCCUCGUUAUCUUACUAUGGUACAGAGAAGUAAUCCUGGUAUUUUAUGGUGCCUUGAUCAUAGAUGACCAUCAGAUAGAAUAUGUCAGUUUGGUCAUAUUUUUUGGUCAUUUGGUCAUUCUAUUUAUAGAUUUGCAUACUGUCAGGCGGUAGUGAGCAUUGAUGGCACUCACUUGUAUGACAAAUAUGAAAGCCAUACAUUGAUAGCGACAGCUAUAGAUGCAAAUGAUAGUAUUUACCCUUUAGCAUUUGCAAUUUGCGAAUAGCAAAAUAGUGAAAGUUGGCGUUGGUUUUUACAGAACUUGCAUCAAUAUGUUACACCCGAUAAGUUUGCUUUAUAUUUGAUUGAUUUAGUGGUUUAAAGAAAAUAGUGGCUGAGAUAUAUCCUCCUCGACAGGGGCAUGCACACCGAUGGUGUCUUCGACACAUGAAAGUAAUUAUGAAUAAGCAUUUUAAAAUGAUUCUAUGCUAUUGGUAGUGCUCCAACAUCAAUAGAAUAUUAUAAGCUUGAAGAAAAGUUACUUGCGUUGGAUCAGGAUGCUUAGAAGUGGAUGGAUGAUCUCGAAGAAUACAAAGAGUAUUGGGCAUGGGCAUUUGAUGGAGGACGACACUUUGGAUUGAUGACAACGAUUAUUUCAGAAAGUUUAAAUGGGGUACUUAUGGUAAUUCAUGCUCUGCCUAUCACAGCUUCUGUCCCGUGAAUAUUUUAUAAACUUAAUAAUUAUUUCUUACAGGGUCGUGAAGAUGGUGACAGUAUGACUGGCACGUUAACUUCUAAAAUACGAAGUCGAAUUAUAAUGAAUAUUGAGACGGCACGGAGACACAUUGUCCAUCAAUUUGGGCUUGUGGAAUUUGAGAUUAAUACUGGAGAUUUCAAAUACAAGGUUUUCCUUAAUGGAACAUGUGUGGAUUGUGAUUGCGGCGAAUUGCAACUAACUAGAAUACUUUGCUCGCAUCUUUUAGUAGUUUGCAGUACUUCACAGAGAAUAAUAGACUUUCAUAAUUUUUGUUCUCGUUGGUAUGGUGUUGAUUGUUAUCGCGAGAGAUACGCACCACAUUUCUAUCCUGUUUCAAAUACACGACACUGGCCCUGGCCCCAGGACUCACCAAUUUUACCGCUUCCCAUGAGAAUGAAGAAAGGUCACCCACGAUCUGCACGUAUUCAUAACAUAAUGGACGAAAGAGAAGGACGACGAACAAAAUAUAGCCUUUGUAAACAAAAAGGCCAUUAUAAGAAUACCUGUCCACAAAAUACACAGAGAGCAUAACAAAGACGUCGACGUAGGACUUAUUACCUAAUAUAAUAACAAUUGCAAAACUUUCAAUAUUUAAUGAGUAUUUUUUAAAUAUUUUAUUAAUUGUAAAAUCUUUAAAAUUAUAGACGGCAAAUCUAGAGGAUGCGGGACCAGUUGAUUCGUUGGUCCCGACAGAGCAGCAUCUCCAUAGGUCUGGAUUUAUUAAGAGUGAGGUGAGAGUAAAAAUUUUAAGUAAAAAUUUAUCAUACUAUUAAUAAAUAGAAAUGAUGAUUUAACUAUUUUUUAACUUUAGGGGUAUCGUGCUAUUCACUGGCCGCAAGUUAAACCAGUGGGAUCUUGACCAUCUAGCAGUACGCGAUAUUGUACUAUAGACCAGAUUCUACUACAUAUCACACCUUAGGCGCUUGCAGCUGGAUCAGGCUUUAUUAGAAGCUACAGUUGAGAGAUGGAGACGGGAGACACAAACUUUUCACUUCCAUCAUGGUGAGAUGAUGAUUACAUUUUAGGAUGUCGCGGUUAUUUUUGAUCUUUGUGUGGAUGGUGAGCCCGUGACUAGUACUAUACAGCACCAGUGGUCAGAUAUUUGUUAGGCGCUUCUAGGAGCUAUGCCGAAUGACAUCAAAGCUGGUCAGAUUAGACUGGAUUGGUUAUACCAGCAUUACCACCACAUACAUUUGGAUGCCUCUGUACGAGUAGUUGCAACUAUAGCACACGCCUACAUGUUAUAUCAAAUUGGGUAUAGUCUGUUUCCCAACCCUACUGGAUAUAGAGUUCAUCUAUAGCUUCCACUUUUAGAGGAUUUUGAUGAGUGUGGCGGAUUAGCAUAGGGGUUCAUCGAGAUUUCGCCGAAUUUUUUGUACUUCGACUUGCUUGCCUAGCCCUCCUGGCUAUCUGGUCAAGUCUUCUUGGAUCUUUUCAUAGACUUUCCUCGCUCUCUUUUCAUCAAGGUCACAACCACCUGUUAUCGUGUGUUGUGCGGAGGCCAACUUCUUCAAAGCGAUUUCUUCGCUUUGGUUUCACUUGAACAUCACCUUCGUCGAUUUGCCACUUGACUUUGACAUAACUAUCUGGUACAUUAAUUCUAUAUUCUUUUCAAAUCUGCAGUCGUCUGGUUUUAUUUUCGGCUCUAAUAACAAUUGUUGGAAGCGUGAUUUGUUUUAAUACCAAUUGUUGGAACUGCUAUUUGUGCUGAUACCGAUUAUAUAAUCCAAAAUUUAAAAUAGAAGAAAAUAAUAUUGAGAAAAGAUAUUGGAGGAGAAAGAAAAAAACUAAAGUAAUACUAUAUUAAUAAAAAGUAAUUAAUGACAUCCUUGGCAACACCCAUUCAACCAUAUCUACUGUGGCUUCUUCAUCUAAUUAACCCAUACCUAAUUAUAUAUAGCCAUCAAAUCAUAACAGAUGAUAAAUCUAACUUUUACUUUGGAUAACUAAUAUCCUACUCUAAUUAUAUAAACUUUUAAAUAUAAUAAAUGAGAAUUUGGAUAAACUCUAUUUCUAACUAAAUUUUAAAUUAAGUUUGGAUUAUUAUUUCCAAUGUCAACAAACUAAUUUGAAUUAUAUAUUUUACCUAUAUUGAUUUUUUUUUUUAUGAUACUGCUUCCUUCCAUGGCUCCUUCAACUUCAACUUAAAUAGUGACAACUUUUCUAAUAAAGUGUAAUUAUGUAGUAUAUGGUUAAUUAUUAAACAUGUAACGUUUUUAUUAUUUUUUAACUGUUAAAUUUAAUUAGGUAUUGGCUAUCUAUAUAUCUGUAUAAAUUUAUAAAUUUUCAUGUCCUUAAGCUGAUGUGGCCCAACCCCUUUAAGGCUUAGUUUGGUAUUUAGGUCCAUCUAAUGCUAUCUAUCUAUUACUAUAUACUAAAGUAGAACCCCUAAUGAACCCUAUGUGAGAAGCUGACACGUGGCGCUCUAUAUGCUUGCCACGUGUCAAGCUUAAAUAUAGAUUUUCUACUUUAGAAAAAAUAAAAUUAGACUUUUUAAGUAAAUAAUAUCUUUUACUAUAUAAAAAAUCACCUAUAAUGAAAGAAAUUUUAUUUAAAAGUCACCUAUAAUUAUGUUGUGCGGAUAUUACUACUUUAGGAAAUCUAUUCUAUUUGGUAAGUGGAUUAAUGAAAUAUUUGAAAAAUUCACGGAUAUUACGUUGCGAAAAAAUUGGCGUGUACGGAUACUACGCAUGAGAAGAAAAAUAUUUAUCUUUAUUUGAGAAUAAAUUAUUACUUAAUUAAUUAUUUGAAAUUAUUGGUUGAAAAGUAGUGGGCAUAAAAAUAUUAGUAAGAAAGGAUAGAAACAUUUUUUCUAACGUGGCUUUCUAUAUGAUUUCCACAUGUCAUCGUAUCUAUUCUAUUUACUAUAUUAUUAAAUUUAAAUGGUAUGUAGAUUAAUGAGAUAUUUGAAAAAUUCACGGAUAUUACGUUGCGAAAAAAUUGGCGGUAUUACGCGUAAGAAGAAAAAUAUUUGAGAAACGCGUAGAUAGAAAAUAGGAUAUAAAUACGAGGAUAAUAUUGUCACAAAAAAAUAUAUAUUUUUAUUUUCAAUCAUUAGAUAAGAUCUAAUGACAAAAAAUUAAUAUCUUUUACUAUAUUAUUAAAAAUCACCUAUAAUGAAAGAGAUUUUAUUUCAAAGUCACCUAUAAUUAUGUUGAUGGGAUAUUUGAGAAAUUCACGGAUAUUACGUUGCGAAAGAAUUGGUGAGUGCAGAUAUUACGCGUAAGAAGAAAAAUAUUUAUCUUUAUUUGGGAAUAAAUUACUACUUAGUUAAUUAUUUGAAAUGAUUGGUUGAAAAUUUCUGGACAUAAAAAUAUUAGUAAAAAAAGGAUAGAGACAAUUUUAUAAAGAGAAAAAAAAUUCAAAACUCACGCUUUUAUAAAAAAUUAAUAUCUUUUACUACAUUAUUAAAAAUUACCUACAAUGAAGGAAAUUUUAUUUUAAAGUCACCUAUAAUUAUGUUGAGAUAUUUGAGAAAUUUACGGAUAUUAAGUUGCGAAAGAAUUGGCGGGUGCGGAUAUUACGCAUGAGAAGAAAAAUAUUUAUCUUUAUUUAGGAAUAAAUUAUUACUUAGUUAAUUAUUUGAAAUGAUUGGUUGAAAAUUUCUGGACAUAAAAAUAUUAGUAAAAAAGGAUAGAGGCAUUUUUGGAAAGAGGAAAAAAUUUAAAACUCACGUCACUCCUGUAAUUUUCUUAGCUCUUAAAUGUUAAUGUUUUAAAAUAGAACAUAUUAUUUCCCUACUGUCACUUCUGUAAUUUUCAUUUCGUAAUUUUUUUUUCCCUACUGUCACUCCUGUAACUUUCCAUCUUCAUGCAACAAAAUUUUUUUUCUUUAUAUUAUCUUAAAUACCAACAUCUAUAUAUUUUUGAAUCUUAAAAGUGAUAGUAGAGAAAUAAUAUACGUGUGCUUACUCUAAUUUGUGUCAAAUAUGAAAGUUUAGUUAAUCUCAUUAUAUACUUAAAUAUUAAUGUCAUUUGUAAUUUUUCAUAUCAAUUUUAGUUAUCAUUUUAUUUUGCACACCAAUAUGUAAACGAAAAUUAUUUUGCACACCAAUUCAUAGAUAACAGAGCAGGAUUGAAUUUUGCAUUUUAGUUGGAUAUUUACUUUGGUCCAAUUUUUUUUUUUCUCUAGCUUGUGUAUUUUAAUAUGUACUAUAAUUAAGAUUGAUAGUAUAUUUUUUAUUUAUUAAAAAAAUAAAAUUAAUUAAAAAAUCUUUUUAUUAUCAUCACAUAAUAAUUUUUAUUAUUCUAUAUUAUUAUAUUAGCCGUGCAUCGCACGGGUAAAAAUCUAGUUAGAUAAAAUGGAGGUAGGAAAAAGCAUAUAGGGAUAUGCUUCUGCGUUUUUCAGUGGGAACGUAGAAAAUAUAUCAUAACCGACUCAUCAUAAUAUGCGGAAUGCAAUAUUAUGUACGGAAACAAACAGGGUAUUUUCUCAUCGUACUUUCUCACCACACGUAACGCAAUCUCUCCGCAAUCCCAAACGAAGCAUAAUUUGGAGAUGUGGGUCCCAUCAAUUUUUUUAUUUUUAAAAAAUUAAUUGAUUUUUUUUUUCAUUAAUUUUUUCUAAGGAUGGAUAGUCAUCCCUUUAAUUUGGGGAUGUGGCCCCACUACCCCUUAAAUUAAGGGUAUAGGCCCCACCAAUUUUUUAUUUUUUUAAAAUUAAUUAGAUUUUUUUAAAAAAAUUUUCUGAUUAAUUUGGGGAUGCCCACUUAAAAAAUGGGCAAUCAUCUCUCCUUAAUUGAGGGUGUUGGAUUGUUAUUUUUUUAAUUCAGGGAUAUAAGCCCUACCAAGAAGAUGAACCAUCUGUUAGGUCCUAUGUGUUGGCAAGUUUCGUGGGUCGUGUCGGAGUCUUGAAGAAGUUCGGAGCGGAGUAUUGAAAAUCGAAGAAUCCAAGACUUCGAAGAAUCGGAAAGGACGUAAAACACGCAAAACUUGAAUCACGAUGCGUAGGUAAGUUUUAAAUCUUGUUUAUGGUGAUUCAUACUUAUUUAUAGAUCUUAGAAUCAUAUUUUCAAGUUGUAAUUGAUUAGAAAGUUUCUAAGAGUUUGUAAAACCCGAAACAAUGCAUUUUCAGCGAAAAUUGCAUUGCUGUACCGGUACAAGGGUUUUCUGUCCAGGGUACAGCCAUCAACGUUACGCAGAAAGUUUGAUGGUUGUUCCAGUACAAGGGUUUUCUGUCCAGGGUACAGCCAUCAACGUUGCGCAGAAAGUUUGAUGGUUGUUCCGGUACAAGCUUCAUGCUGUACCGGUACAAGCCCUGUUCCGGAACAAGCUGAAGCUAUCCAGGGUACAGGAGCUUCGCAGAAAAAUCUUCCGUCAUGGUGUACCCUGGACAACAUUCCUUGUUCCGGUACAAGGUGCUGUUUUUGGAAAGAAACUUUCUAAUUCGACUCCAAUUGAUUCUAAAGUCUAUAAAUAAGCUAUUGGGCUUCUCUAACACAUCAAGCAUCAUAAGAAUACAUGUUUGAGAAACCCUAGAGGCUCGGAUUUCAUUUUAAACCUAUUUUCUACAAAAAGCCUCUUUUAGAUCAAAUCGAGAUAUUAAAAUUUGAUAUUAAUAUGUCGAUUUGAUCUCCGCUUCGCUUGGAGUUCUAUUCCCUGGUUUUCUACGAUACUCCUAAGCGACGGAUCACCAUAAUCAUGAUGCUCUUCAUGAACGGCGUCGUGGAUUCGGCGUGAACGAAGACGGUUCGUGGAUUCGGAUCGUGAGCUCGUGGAUUCGAGUGGGCGUCGUGGAUUCGACGUGAUCGAGGCUUCGUGGAUUCGAAGUGGUGACGUUUCGUGGAUUCGGGACGUGGCGUUCGUGGAUUCGGACGUCGGGCGUGGACAACCCGUUGGUGUGCGCGAGAUCCGGAGAAGAUAGAAGAGAGGUUUGAGUCCGUGGAUUCGGUAAAUCACCUUGUAAUCUUUUAUUCUUAGUGGAUUGUUAUCGCGUGUUGGUCCCGUGGGUUUUUUACUCCGAGUUUGGAGUUUUCCCACGUAAAUCUCGGUGUGCUUUUUAUUUUCCGCAUUUAUUUUUAUUGCAUCGAGAUUUGUGGUUUUUUGGCCUUUCACCUAUUCACCCCCCUCUAGGUGAUAGAUACAAUCUAGAUAGAUCCUUAGGCUAUUCAAAACUUUCAAUUGGUAUCAGAGCAGGAUCUAGAUAAAUUGUUAUCUAAUGGCCGAAGGUGGUAACAUUAAUCGACCUCCGCUCUUCGACGGCACGAAUUAUGCCUAUUGGAAAGUUCGCAUGAGAGCUUUUCUAAUCGCAAUCGAUGAGCGGGUAUGGAAAGCUAUUGAAUUCGGAUGGAAACAUCCUACCGAAGUUGUCGAUGGUGCUACCGUCCCUAAACCACGAAACAAGUGGACUAAAGAUGAAAACGAGUCAUCUUCGUUUAAUGGUAAAGGAAUUAAUGCUUUAUUCAACGCUUUAUCACAAACGGAGUUUACUCGGGUUUCGGCAUGGGAAACGGCAAAGGAAAUUUGGGACACUCUACAAAUUACACAUGAAGGUACUAGUUUAGUAAAAAUUCAAAAGCUCCAAAUGUUGACUAGUCAAUUUGAUUCUAUUCGUAUGGAGGAGUAUGAAUCUUUUACCGAUUACUACACUAGGCUUCAAGAUAUCAUUAAUACAUGUGCUAAUUUGGGAGAGAAAAUUCCGGAUACAAAGGUUGUUAUUAAAAUCCUUCGAACUCUUCCGGAACGCUUUCGGGCAAAGGUCGCCGCGAUCGAAACGGUCAAGCAUCCGGACGAUAUGAAAGUAGAAGAAUUAGUAGGAGCUUUACAAACUUAUGAGAUGACUUUUCCUACUAAUCAAUCUUCUUCCAAGUCUUUCUCUAAAAGCACAGGGGUUGCAUUGAAAUCGACGAAAGAGAAAGAUGGAGACUCGGAUUCCGACGGAGAGAUCUCUAUUGCAGACUUUGAACAACAAUUGGCGCUUCUCACGAAGAAGUUUCGUCGGAAUUUUCGAAAGAAGAAUAGAUCGGACAAGGCUUCAUCGUCUAAAUCUUCAUCGUCUACAUCUAAGGAGAAGAAGCGUGCAAAGGCUUCGAAAGAAAAGGAUGUCUUUGAAGGCGAGAUCCAAUGCUUCAAGUGCAAAGGCUACGGUCACAUAGCUACGGAUUGUCCCUCAAAGAAAUCAUAUACUAAGAAGGCGAUGCAAGCAAAGACGUGGGAUGAUUCAACAUCAAGUGAAUCAUCGUCGAGUGAUGAAGAAAAGAAUGAUCAAAUUGCUCUAUUUGCUGAUGCUUCCUCGUCGAAUAUUGUGUGUUUAUCCUCUUUUGCUACUAACUCCAAUAUGUCUUUUUCUUCACAUGAUUCAUCGAGCAACAAUGGCGAAAGUGAAGAGAAAUCAAACGACGACGACAUAGCGGAAGCGUACAAUCAACUUCUUAUUGAAUCAAAGAAGAUGGCUAAACUCAAUAAGAAGUUGAGACGUCGUUUGUUGGAACUUGAGGAGGAAAACAACAACAUGAAGACUUUGAAUAAAGCUCUCGAGGAGGAAAGAGAAUCAAAUUUGAAAAAUAAUUCAAUCCUCCAAGAGAAGCUAGAUGAAGCGGAAUCAAUGAUCAAAUCUUCUAACGACAAGAUUGGAUUUUUGGAGCAUCAAUUUCAUGAAUCGCACAAGUCCAAUCAAGUCUUGACCGAUCAAGUUCGUCAACUCCAAUCCGAUCUUCAACAAUUUUCUUCGGGAUCAAAGAAGUUGGACAAAAUGCUUGGAUUGGGUCAAACGAGCAAAUUGGGUCUUGGAUAUGAACGGACAUAUGUUGAGAAGGAUCAAAUGGCGACAUCUAAAGUCUCAACAACUUCAAAAGGCAAAGUGUGUCAUCGAUGUGGCAUCGAAGGACACAUCAAAAGGAAUUGCCCAAACAAAAAUGGCAAGUCACAAUUGGCAACUUCAAAACAUCCAUCGGCUUCAUCUACAACUCGACUUCCCCCGCGGAAUCAAAAGAAAAAUCAAGUGAGUCGAGUAUCUCAAAAGAACCGGUUUUCUAGCACACAACGUCAAUGUCAAGUUUAUACAAACCGGAUGUCUAAUCCUCAACGACAAAAUCAACCGAAGUCUCAACCGAAGAAACCAUCAACGGUUAAUAAAAAAUCUAAACAAAUGGGACCUAACGUCGACAAGUCGAGAAAACCAACGAUCCGACAAGUUUGGAUCCGAAAAGGUGAUAUCUUUCCUUGCUCCUUGUCUUAGUCAUUUUGAUCUUUAGUGUAAUGCUUUGAUUGGUGUUUGUUGCAUAUCUUUUAUUCAUUGCAUUACAUGAUGAGUCUCGUGUGUAAAAGUUUUUUAAAUUGAUUUGAGGAAAGGUGUUUGGGAAUUUAAAUUUUUGAGAAAGGAGAUGAUUGAGAAUCAUUAUUCUGAGAAGAGAAAGUUUUUUAAAAGAUUGGUUAAACGGGUUUAACUUCACAAUCAUAUUAAGUUAAAUUCAUAUUAAUUAUCGGUUUUACUCCACUUUUUAUUAUUUUGACGAUAAAUUAAUAUAUGAUUUCUUAAUGCAUAAAUUCAUCAAAAUUUUGAAAUCAAAUUUGAUUUUUUGGUGAUUAAUUCGUCUUGGUUGUGAGUGUUGGAUAUGAUGAAUGGGUAUUCUCUAAUUGACUAAAAUUCGUCAAAAUUAUUUUCAAUUGUGAGAUUGUCUAAUUUAGGGGGAGUUUGAAAUUGUUUAAAAAUAAAAAAAAAAGGGAGAAAAAGAAACUCCUAUGUUUAAAAGAUGUGGAAAGAGUUACAUCCAAACGGAGUGUGAAAACUACCACCACAUGUAGGAAAGAGCUACCACCCCGGUCGUCCGGCAAGUGUGUGAAGCUACCACAUGAAGAUUAAAUUGGGUAACCGAAAAAGGUUGGAAAAAUUGAAUAUUUUAGAAUUUUCGGAGUUAUAAGGUGGUAAGAUAAAAAGAUGCUCAAAGAGCCACCCCCGGUAUCAUAUUAGUUGAAUCUCUAUUUUGAGUGUGUUACGACAAAUUGGUGUCAAUUUUUGUUGAAUUUCUAGAAAUCAUUUUUCAUCAACUUACAUCUUGAUGGUUUUGAAUCAUUAAAUUAUUUUUGAUAAUAAAAUUUUGAUGUUUUGAUGUAUUUUGAAAUUUUAUAAUAUCUUAUUGUCAUUAUAAUGAUUCUUGGAGUAAAAGCCUUAAUUUAUUUGAAAUUAAUUUAAUUUGAUAGAUUUUUAAAGCAAAUUUUUCGAAAUCUGAGAUCGUUCGUCGAGCUUAGAAAGCUCUUUCACUGCAUUUGCAUUUUAGGAUGAUGUUUUAGUUUCAGUUCUGCUUGUUUUUUCUUUUAGGCCUGUAAUUAUGACUUGAUUACGCUUAUGUUUUUCUAGUAUGUUUUUUCUCUUUAUUUGCUUUCUUUUGGCAAUUUUUGACAAAAAGGGGGAGAGCAUAGAUGAAGGGGGAGAGCAUGGAUGAACAGGCAUUGAACAGUUGCAGAGGAUGAUGAGUUCAAGAACAAAGGGGGAGAUGUGAUCGAGAUGUGAAGAACAAAGGGGGAGAAGGUAUAAGAAUUUAAGGUUAAUCAUUUUUGAAUGAAUUGUUUUGCAGGAUUUCAAGACUUCAAGACUCCUAGUUGCGUCUAAGUCAUAGAGUCUGUUUUAGGAGUUUUGAUGUAAUUUUGAGUUUCAAAUUGUAUUUGGAUUACACGCGAGGGGUUCGAUGUUUUGGUGAUGACAUUGAACUUCGUUUUUUCAUUAAAUUGUAAUUUGUGAGUUUGUGUGUGUUUUGUCACGAAAUUGCCAAAGGGGGAGAUUGUUAGGUCCUAUGUGUUGGCAAGUUCCGUGGGUCGAGUCGGAGUCUUGAAGAGGUUCGGAGCAGAGUAUUGAAAAUCGAAGAAUCCAAGACUUCGAAGAAUCGGAAAGGACGUAAAACACGCAAAACUUGAAUCACGAUGCGUAGGUAAGUUUUAAAUCUUGUUUAUGGUGAUUCAUACUUAUUUAUAGAUCUUAGAAUCAUAUUUUCAAGUUGUAAUUGAUUAGAAAGUUUCUAAGAGUUUGUAAAACCCGAAACAAUGCAUUUUCAGCGAAAAUUGCAUUGCUGUACCGGUACAAGGGUUUUCUGUCCAGGGUACAGCCAUCAACGUUACGCAGAAAGUUUGAUGGUUGUUCCAGUACAAGGGUUUUCUGUCCAGGGUACAGCCAUCAACGUUGCGCAGAAAGUUUGAUGGUUGUUCCGGUACAAGCUUCAUGCUGUACCGGUACAAGCCCUGUUCCGGAACAAGCUGAAGCUAUCCAGGGUACAGGAGCUUCGCAGAAAAAUCUUCCGUCAUGGUGUACCCUGGACAACAUUCCUUGUUCCGGUACAAGGUGCUGUUUUUGGAAAGAAACUUUCUAAUUCGACUCCAAUUGAUUCUAAAGUCUAUAAAUAAGCUAUUGGGCUUCUCUAACACAUCAAGCAUCAUAAGAAUACAUGUUUGAGAAACCCUAGAGGCUCGGAUUUCAUUUUAAACCUAUUUUCUACAAAAAGCCUCUUUUAGAUCAAAUCGAGAUAUUAAAAUUUGAUAUUAAUAUGUCGAUUUGAUCUCCGCUUCGCUUGGAGUUCUAUUCCCUGGUUUUCUACGAUACUCCUAAGCGAAGGAUCACCAUACAUCAUGAUGCUCUUCAUGAACGGCGUCGUGGAUUCGGCGUGAACGAAGACGGUUCGUGGAUUCGGAUCGUGAGCUCGUGGAUUCGAGUGGGCGUCGUGGAUUCGACGUGAUCGAGGCUUCGUGGAUUCGAAGUGGUGACGUUUCGUGGAAUUCGGGACGUGGCGUUCGUGGAUUCGGACGUGGGGCGUGGACAACCCGUUGGUGUGCGCGAGAUCCGGAGAAGAUAGAAGAGAGGUUUGAGUCCGUGGAUUCGGUAAAUCACCUUGUAAUCUUUUAUUCUUAGUGGAUUGUUAUCGCGUGUUGGUCCCGUGGGUUUUUUACUCCGAGUUUGGAGUUUUCCCACGUAAAUCUCGGUGUGCUUUUUAUUUUCCGCAUUUAUUUUUAUUGCAUCGAGAUUUGUGGUUUUUGGCCGUUUCACCUAUUCACCCCCCUCUAGGUGAUAGAUACAAUCUAGAUAGAUCCUUGGGCUAUUCAAAACUUUCACCAUCAUUUUCUUAAUUGGAGGUGUGGGGAUAUGAGCCCCACCAAGAAGAUGAAUCAUUAUCUUCUUAAUUGGAGGUGUGAGUCCCACCGAAUACUGUUUUUUUUUUUAUUUUAACUCGAUAGAUAUAUAGAUAUACUAAAUUUUUUAAUUUGGGGAUAUAAGCUCCACCAAGAAGAUGAAUCAUUGUCUUCAUAAUUAGAGAUGCGGGCCUUACCAAAUACUAAUUUUUUUUUUUAUUUUUGUCACGCCCCGGGGUCCCUUUCAGUUUAAAAGAUAGCGGAAAAGCGUCUGAAUUUUUUUUUUUUUUUAUAUAUAUAUAUCUGACCCCAGAGUAUGCCAGAUCCGCCACAAAUACAGGAGAUCCACUGUUCACACGGACAGAGUCUCCCCUGUAUUUGCACGGCGUCGCACAAGUACAAGAGUACAACCAGGAUACAACCACAACUAGAUGAGUAUAAAGAUAACUAUACAUUCAUACAUUCACCAUUCACAUCACAGUUUUACAUUCAAUGUUUAAACAGAAAUCCACGAAAAAUCCUUUUAAAAACUGUUUCCUACACGGAAACCUUUAUUCUUUAAAAACGCUACCACGAGGGGUAGAAAACCUUUUAGUUUACCAAAUCCAGAAAUCCUUUUAUUACAUUCAUGAAAAUCCACAUUUUCAAAUGUAAAUAAAUACUGAACCAUACAAGCUAUCUAUGCUAUAUCAACAGAAUAGUAAGGGUAGAAACCAAACCGAACAAUCUGGGUCGGAAGAUCUAUCGACCGCUACGUACGUAUCUCGCGUCUCGUCCCAAUACACAACGCCUGCGAUACCUGAAAAAUGGUGGGGGAGGUGAGAACAUGUAAACAUGUCUCCCCUCCCAGUGGGUAUCGCAAGCCGAAGAAGGCGAGGAGUACUCACCGGAUCAGGAAGAGCUAUACAACAACACGGGUCAGUGGAAAUAUAGCAGCAACAAUAAUAAACGAAAGAGAUAUGUAAGGUAAUGAGCAGAUAUACCGAAUACAGUAGCAAUAAACUGAAAGAAAGUAAGAACUAGAUUGAAUAACGGCUACCGCUACUGUAACUGAAAUCGAAAGCAUACAUGAAUAUCUACUAUAGUAGCAAGACAACUAUAAAGUAAGAACUGUGAAUAUGCAUGCAACGACUGCUACUAUAGACAUAUGCGUCAACGGACGAUAACCUCAAAAGUACCCAAUCUCGCUGCCCUAUUGGUCCGAAGACCUCAGGCACAUGCCACACUGCUCAACCUGUACCUGACCCUCGCAAUGAAGCCCCUGGGUCAGAAGCAUAGUACCUGACCCUCGCAAUGAAGCCCCUGGGUCAGAAGCAUAUACCCUCGCAAUAAAGCUCCUGGGCUCACGGGUUGGCAAUCCAACCACUUUUCUGGAAAAGAACACCCUCUUGCGGUGGAUCAGACCGCUGGUGUUCGUGAAAUGCGUACCUGCAGUGGCGAUCAAUGUAGUAUGCUCAAAGAUCUUCCAUCGGCAACUAGCCGACAAUCCAGCCCCUUAGGGCACACCGACCGUAUAGGCCAUCAACUGUAAGGAAGCACAAGAACCGACCACUCAGGUCAACUAGGAUGGGACAACAUCGACAUCCUCUCAACUGUAUGUAAGUACUGACUAAUCAAGUCAACUGGGAUGGAACAACUCAAUAUCCUACCAAAAGUAUGUAGAUACUGAUCAAUAAGUCAACUACUGUAUAUAUGCAAGAAUCGAUCAACAAGUCAUUUGAGUAUAUAAUUUAGAACCACCGUCGGCCACUAGCCGACAAUCCGACCCCUCAGGGUACACCGACCUCAAAGGUCAUCAAACGACAUAAGUCAAGGAACCGACUGACUAGGUCACCGAUCUCACAGGAAAUCACGAAACCGCUCUACUCUAAACAUGAAACAGGAUAUGCAGGAUAGCUAAGUAGAGCAACAAGAAAACAUGGUAUCACAUACAGAUAGACUAUACUCCUACACAUGAUACUAAGCAUGGAAACAUCUGAGUAGAGUAUAACCAAACAACGUGGGUGCUAGGCUCAACACUAUAUAUCAAAAUAUAUAUAUGCCAAAUAAUAACGAGAGAACAAGGUAAGAAACCAUCACCGAGCAUGCACCACUGUACCGACGUCGGAUCGAAGUACCCACCUGUACAACAGUCGCGCCUGUCUCCUGACUGCAAAAGAACGUCAACAGGACCUAAGGAGGGUCCACUGGGUUAGUGUCUAACCCACAACUAAGAAACCCUAAAAGCAUAACCCCACAAAUACCACUGAAUACACAACCCACAGACAAUCCCACGGAGAUCGGUUUCCCAAAACCGAUUACCGAACAAACCGGAAGUCUCAAAAACCGGACCGAGACUCUGUCGGGACCACUGAAUUGUCUCGAAACGCACCGACUCAUACUACGAGUCACCUGCUGCCCCAAAACAUUCCAAUUUGGAUGUUUUGGCAGCAAACACAAGAUAACACCACUACACAAUUAUCGUCGGAUAAUUGUACGAAUCCGGGUUCCCGAAAGUGUCUAUUUCGACACCGGAACCCACCGCCGCUCACUCCUCAUUUCUGAACUCUCGAAAUGACGCGAGUGACCAGCCAACAAGGCUCAGCGACUACACUAUAGCUCACAAAGCACCGUCGGAAUAAUUCCGAACCGAACCCGCGUUCCGUCGGCGGAUUUCGCCGAGAAACGCAUCGGAAAUUACUUUACAAUCUCCGCAAGGGCUUGGGACCUUGGACAAUCAGUCCAGAGGUCACCACACACACUUAUACACUGCCCACAUUAGCCACAAGGCGCACAAUUGCACAAAAGUCCCUAUGUUUACAUAAAAUCCAUCAUUUUAUGUAAAUCGGGCGACUCCUAUGACUCGUUCUCACAAACUGAGGACUUCUAAGUUCCGCCAAGACACGUACUGACAGGUCUCGACGUGCCGGAGGCCGUGCUCAAGGUCUGGAGCGCAACAGGUCACAGUGGGAAGCGCGGGAGUAACCCGAAGUUCUGCGAACAGUGCGCAGUCGGGGAAGAUCGCGCCAAACAGGGCUAACCGGACACUGUUGAUCCAAAGUGAGGUGAGCACUGUGAUCAGCACUGACCAACGAUCACCGUGCUCACCUCCGGAGACAUCAUGACAGCCUCGGAUCGCCGAAUAAGCGUGCGCAAACCCAAAACAGCAGCCAAACAGGCUCUAUAGGGUCGACACCGCCGAAACAGCGGAACGGAGUCUCCCCGGCAGAAACUAAGGUGAGCACGAUGAUCAGAAAUUUGCUACGGUCAUCGUGCUCCCUUCCGAAGAGAUCGGGGAGGCUCAGGAAGCUCAGAACAAUAGACCAUCCAAACUAAGCCCUAUUUCGGGCUUGGCCGGAGCAAGCUUGCUCCGGCCGGCUUCCGGCAGCAUGGCGGCAUGCGCGGCGGCCAGGGACGGGUGCGGGGGAGGUGAGGAGUACCGUGCUCACCUCGGUUGACGGCGGGGUGCUGCUGCGGCGUCGGGGAAGCAAGCUCAGCCCGCAAGAGCUCCGGCUUGGGUUCCACGGGCAGUGGCGGCCACGGCGGCGGCCGAGGAGCUCCGGGACGGCGGAGGAGGGUUGAUGGAGCCCGGAGAAGGGUAAGCUAGGCCGUCGUUGGGCGGCGGCUGCGCGCGGCGGCUGAAGCGGGCCCAAAGUUCGGCCCAAAACUGACGCAGGGCGCCGCAGGCGGUUGCAGCGCGACCGGCGCGCGUCGCGACGGCGGCGGCGGGGGGAAGACGCCGAGGCUCUGGAAAGUCGGGCCGGGUGGUCACGAAUGGCGGCGGUAGCAGAGAAAAGGGCCGCAGGCUUACCUCGCCCUGGGCUCGGGCUGGGGACGGCCUGCUGCUUGCUGGAGAUGCCUCGCGGCGUGCGCUCUGGCGCCUCGGGGCGGCGGCGGCCGUGUGCCUGAGGUCGAGGGACGGGUGGCAGGCGGCCGCAAGGGAGGAGGUUUUGAGUCCUCCCCUUGCUCGGGUCCCAAGCCGCUGAGAAGGAAGGUAGGAACGAAGAGAAUGGAGAGGGAAAGAAAAGGCUGCCGCGGUGGUUGUGCCUGGCCGGAGGCUCAGUCGGCGGCGGCCUGGGAGUCGUGCGGCUAGGAUGCAGAGGGAAGGCAGAGGGAGGCUGCUGGCUUGGGUUGGCUAAUUCUAGGGUUAACGUAGGUUAUGACCUACGGGCUCGAUCCCAAGACCCUAGAAAGCAAUACUAAGUAAGGCCAAGGGGCAAAAUUUGCAAGAUAAGUCCACACUAGAACCUCACUAUUUCACAAGCUAAAUCCUCACCACAGCGUGGAGUAAAACACGCGAAUACCCCUCCACGUGCGAUCUCCACGCAAAACGGUAACAUAAAAUAUCGCGACUUUCGCAAAAAUACCAAUUUUGCCACUCACCGACCUCUCCUCGAUCAACGUGCGAUCUCCGUAGAUCCGUCCGUCAGAUUUGCGAACGGAUUGUACCAGGUGCGAUCAGCACUUCGGAGACAACAAAGCUACCAUUUUGGUUUCACCUCGAACGGUCCACGGAUUCGCGACGAAAAUCCAAUCCUUCUCUCCAAUAGAAGGCCAAACAUGACGCACAAAAUACAUAUAAAACGCGUAUUUUUAGAUUUUCUCAAAAUCCGUGCAUCAAAACUCAAAAUCCGUCAGCGCCAGUUAGUUCCAGAAUAGCUGAAUCCGGUCGAAAUGAGCUAUUGGACUGCUAUGAACGGAGUCCGAUACGCAGCCAGAAGCCAACUUCUACUCCGUGGCCUUCUUCCGGAAAACCGGAGUUACUAUUCACUUUAAGUGAAAACUAAUAAUCGCGUAACUUCUCCGUUUAAGCUCAUUUUCUCCCCGAAACUUGACGAGUGCUUAUGUAAUUAAAUUACACACAUAAACAUCGUCAACAGAGAGUUUAGUUGCACAGUCAAAAAUCUCAGUCCUUACAAAUUAACCCGAAUAGAUAUUAUAGGUUUGUAAGAAGAGAGGGAGGCAUAUGACCUGAAUGCUGUUUAUUGUCGUAAGGUGGAGGAGGGCGUAGUGGAGAAUGUAGCCGUGCCGCCGGACGAGGACAAUAGCGGUUGCAUUGAACGCGUAAGGGUUAAACCGAUCACGUUGUCGUAAAGCACGUGCCGCCGUGCGGUGCGCAACAUGGGGAGCCUCGAUCACGGGGGCGACUGCAAGCCUCCAGCGCACUCUGAUCGCAGACCUAAUCGUGUUCACGCGACCUCGUCCACGCGCUCAUCCAUCGGUAUGCUGGCUUCGGCUCGGGGAUUGCAGUCGACGCAAGCGUGGACGUCCGGCGGGCCGGGCGGAGCGGCACAGGGCGGUGGGGGUUGGAGAUCGUGUUGAAGGCGAAGAAAGCGACAACGCUCGUACCGGCGACGACAAGCCGUGCGUGUGGAUUUCAAGCUCUUCUUUCUCUCCCCCUUCUUGGUCAUUACUAUUAAAAUGAAAUUUUUGUUUAUCUUUACUUUUUAUUUUUUUUUUCCCUUUGUUAGAACUUUAUGAGAAACUAAGAUCGUACCUUCUGCCAUGACUUUGAUUUCUGUAGCCGAUUUGUAGGCGGCGAUCCUUGCUCGUGAUUCGUCCUCGUUCGUGAUCUGCAAGAAGGCAGGACGUUUCGAGUCUAAUUCCCUUAUCCCCGGAGAUGGAACCGUCACAGACAAUUAGAUUAGGGUUAGACCGGGACUCCUGUAUGUUACAUAUUUAUAUAUAACUUAAUGUAAGGAUGUUAAAUCACGUCCGUCCAUCAAGGACACGUCCAAAUACAUCCUAACCGUAAGAUCUACAAAUAUCUUUAUAGAUCAACUUAAAUAGAUUGACCGUAUCUUUACAGGAUCGUCCUUGAAUAUAUCACGUGGGCCACAUACCAACAUUCUCCCACUUGGCCUAAUGACAUAUUCAUUACCGCAUAGGCGAUACAAAAAAAAAAAAAAAAAACUUUAUUAGGUACCAACUAAAUUAUACAGUCAAAAUCUCCCACUCGACUAAGAAAUCACAAUACUUUGAUCAUAGCGGUUAUGCUCCAAAAGAUGAACACUUCCUUCCAUGUAUCAAAAGUACGAAUUCCUUAAUCAAAUAACUUUAUGAGUUACAACCGUAUGAACUUAUUAUAAGUUCAACUCAGAGUCCCACUUUAGUGCACAAUAAAACUUUUAAUGUACAAAAAUAACUUUAUGCGCAUAUGUGCAAAAACCAAAAUGUGUUCUUAUUCAAAUAAAAAUAGUCUUUAAAGUCUUUAUACAAGAAGAAAACACUUAAACUGUAAAUGGACUCAAGAUACCCAUAUGAUGAAUAUGAUCCUUGAAUUUGUUUGCCGGCAAUGCUUUAGUCAUAGGAUCAGCAAUCAUCUUCUCGGUCCCAAUGUGUUGGAUAUCCACCUUCUUCUUGUCGUAUUCCUUCACAGCAAGGUACUUUAUAUCGAUAUGUUUGCUGCGAUCUGUAACUCGACUAUUCUUGGCAAAGAACACUGCAGCAGAGUUGUCGCAAUAAAUCUUAAUUGGCCUUGAGAUAGAAUCGACAACUCUUAAACCUGAGAUAAAAUUUCUCAGCCAUAAAGCCUGUGACGAAGCCUCAUAGCAAGCGAUGAACUCUGCCUCCAUAGUGGAUGUAGCAACUGUAUCUUGCUUAGUGCUCCUCCAAGAUAUAGCACCUUGAGCAAGUAAGAAAAUAUAUCCUGAUGUGGACUUUCUGGAAUCCACGCAUCCAGCAAAAUCAGAGUCCGAAUAUCCAACCACCUCAAGAUGGUCAGAAUGUCUGUAGGUGAGCAUAUAAUCCUUUGUUCCUUGUAAAUAUCUCAUAACCUUCUUUGCAGCUUUCCAAUGAUCAAGGCCAGGGUUGCUUUGGUAUCUACCCAACAUCCCCACUGCAUAAGCUAUAUCAGGUCUGGUACAGACCUGCGCAUACAUUAAGCUCCCUACUGCAGAGGCAUAGGGUAUGCUCUUCAUAUGUUCUCGUUCUAAAUCAUUCUGAGGACACUGUUUCUGAUUGAAUCUGUCACCUUUUAUAAUAGGUGCAGCUGUAGGUGCACAGUUUGCCAUAUUAAAUCUUUCUAGAACUCUUUCGAUGUAGGCUUUCUGAGAUAGACCCAAAAUCCUUUGAGAUCUAUUUCUGUGAAUCUUUAUGCCAAUGACAAAAGAGGCUUCACCCAUAUCCUUCAUCUCAAAAUUCUUAGAAAGAAAAUCUUUGGUAUCUUUAAGCAAACUCAAAUCACUACUUGCAAGCAGAAUAUCAUCCACAUACAGAACUAAGAAAAUAUACUUACUCCCACUAACCUUAAGGUAUAUACACUGGUCCACAAUAUUUUCUACGAAACCAAAUGUAGUAAUUACAUUAUGAAACUUGAUAUACCACUGACGGGAAGCCUGUUUAAGUCCGUAUAUAGAUUUCUUUAGUCUGCAAACAAGGUGAUUACUUUCAUCUGUGCUGAAACCUUCGAGGCUGUUGCAUAUAGACUAUCUCCUCUAUAUCCCCAUUUAGAAAUGCCGUUUUCACAUCCAUUUGAUGUAACUCUAAAUCGAAAUGAGCUACCAAAGUCCAUGAUAAUUCUUAAUGAAUCCUUCUUAGAUACCGGAGAGAAGGUUUCAUGAUAAUCAAUGCCUUCUUUCUGAGUGAAACCUUUGGCAACAAGUCUGGCCUUAUAUCGUUCUAUGUUACCUAAAGAGUCCCUUUUGGUCUUGAAGACCCAUUUACAGCCAAUGGCUUUGACUCCUUGUGGUAAUUCAACGAGAUCCCAAACUUUGUUAUCCGUCAUAGAUUUCAUCUCUUCCUUCAUGGCAUCAUACCAUAGGGAGGAUUUAUCUCCCUGCAUGGCUUCUGAAAACGUCCAUGGGUCUUUAUGGUGUCCAACAUCAAAGUCAGACUCCUGAAAGAUAGACUACAUAAUCAUCAGGAAUCGCCGAUCUCCUUUGUCUUGAGGAUCUUCUUAAGCCAACCUCUUCCUGCAGAUUUUCAUUAUUCUGUGCAGCUGGCUCUAUAAUUAUCUGUUCCUCUUGGGACAGCUCUUCAUGGGGAGGUUCAACUGGUUCAGCAUUUUCAUGCUCUAAAAUUAAUUGAUCUCCAUUAUGGUCAAAUUGACCUCCUGGUAAGAGCAACUAAAUUAUUAUCUGUUGAUGGAUAACCAGUUGAAUCCCUUAUUUCCUCAAAAUCCAUCUUUUGAGGAACAACACUCCCACUAGUUUCAGAAUCCUCAAGAAAUUUAGGCAUUCCUGGCCUCAACUAUCUUGGAUGGGUGAUUUGGACAAUAGAACCUGAAUCCUUUGGAAUUUACCGCAUAGCCAAUGAAAUAUCCACUGACUGUUCGAGGGUCCAGUUUUUUUAUGUGUGGAUUAUAAACCCUCACCUCAGCUGGACAUCCCCAUACGUGCAGGUGAUUUAAACUAGGUUUCCAUCCUUUCCAUAACUCGAAAGGAGUUUUGGAAAUAGCCUUCGAUGGAAUCCUAUUUAAUAUAUACACCGCUGUCUUUAGUGCUUCACUCCAAAGAGAAGAUGGAAGACAAGAGCUACUAAUCAUGCUCCUUACCAUGUCCAUGAGUGUUCUAUUCCUCCUUUCGGCAACGCCAUUUUGCUGGGGCGUGCCAGGCAUCGUAUACUGUGCAAUGAUGCCUUCACCUUUGAGGAAUUGACCAAAUGGACCGAUCAUUUGACCUUUAUCCGUAUGUCUUCCAUAAUACUCACCCCCUCUGUCGGACCUUACAAUAUUGAUUUUCCUAUCCAAUUGUUUCUCUACCUCAACCUUAUAAGCUUUAAAAGCAUCAAGAGCCUCAGCUUUAUCAAAUAAGAGAUAGAGAUACAUAUAUCUUGAAUGGUCAUCAAUAAAUGAGAUAAAAUAUCUCUGACCGUUGAAACAAGGAGUAGGAAAAGGUCCACAAAUAUCUGUAUGUAUGAUCUCAAGAAUUUCAGAACUCCUUCUGGCACCUUUAGUGGUAUUUGUGUUAGUAUGCUUUCCCUUUAUGCAUUCCACACAAGUACCAAAAUCGGUAAAGUCAAGAUCUUGUAAGAUCUUUUCUUUUACCAACCUCUUUAUUCUCUCUAAAGAGAUAUGAGCUAAACGCUUGUGCCAUAAAUAGGAGGAGUUUUCUUUAAUAAUGUUCCUUUUAACACCAAUGUCAUGAUCAACAUUAAAAUUAUUUUCAAAAGAUUGACUCAAAUUAAAUUUGUACAAAUCAUCUACCAAACAACCAUUGCCAACAAUAUUAUCGGAGAACAUAGUAAAAGAUUCAUUUUCAAAUAAAAAUUUGAAACCUUUAUUUCUCAAUUUAGAAAUAGAAACUAAAUUUCUAGAAAAUUUAGGAACAUAAAAAGUAUUCUCAAGUUCAAGUACAAAACUAGUUUUAAGUUCUAAAAUAAACUUUCCUACGGCUUCAACUUGAGAUUUAUUUCCUUCUCCGCUAAUUAAAAUCCUUUCAUUUGGCUUUAACAUCGUUAGAUUAUGAAAACCCUGUAUGGUAUUUGAAAUAUGUACAGUAGUUCCAGAGUCAAUCCACCAUGUGUUUUUAGGAACAUUAACUAAAUGAGAUUCAUAACAAAUAUAGAUAGUUUCAAUGCCCUUCUUUUCGUGACAAACUUUGUAGGAGCUAACAAACUGCUCCUCAAUGGCCUUUAGGUAAUCCUUGGCUUUAUCACAUUCUGGAAUUGAUCCCCUUAUGCUUUUUUGAUACUCUAGACUUUAUGAGCAUCAAACUUAAGCUGUUGGAUCGCUCCCACUUUUCCUGCGCAGAUUCCUGCUGUGGAGUCAUUGACCCCACUACCUUAGGCGGUUGCUCAACGCGCAGAGCCAAGUCUAAAUCCAUAUAACCCAAAGUUAAAGAAAUAAUUUCUUUCCAAUCAGAAUAAUUGUCCCCAGUAAACAUAGGAAUACGAGAAACAUCAUUAAAAAAUGCAGUAGAGGAAAAAGCUACAAAAAUAAAGAAAUAUAGAACUUUAUCGCUUGCUAAAUAAUAAUCUUUAGAUUAGAUAAAUUCUACCUUCCUGUGGGCAGAGGUGCUACACGCAUAGAAUUCAUCUACUUUAAUAAUAAGACUAGCAGAAAAUUAAUUUCUAAACAACAAGAUUUCUGUACCUGUGGGCAUAGGAAGACUCGCUAUCUAGAAAUUCAAUCCACUAUCUUAUUCCAGUCAACAUUUAGAAAAUUAAUUUAUUUGACUGCAAUAAAUAGUCAAACUUUAUUUCAAUAUCAGUAAAUCCUUAUAUAUUCUUCAUUAUCUAUAGGAUGCUGUGGCUACUCCUGAGCAUAAUGAAAAAUACAAAUAACUUUAAUUCAAUAUCAAUAAUACUUUAUAUAUUUUUCAUUAUCUAUAGGAUGCUGUGGCUACUCCUGAGCAUAAUGAAAAAUAUAAAUAGCUUUAUUUGACAUUGAAUGACAUUAUUUGACAUUGAAUGACUAUUUAAAAAAAAAUUGGGAAUCCAUAUGAAUUUUCGGAUCAACUUUAAUUCAAUAUCAUCUUAUAAAAAUACCAUAAGAGAUCAUAUACCAUGAUUAGGAUGCUGUGGCUACUCCUAAACAUAGUUAAUUUUACAAGUCCAUAUAUGAUAUGAAUAACCGAAAAUUUCAUAUUAUUCUAAAACGCAGCGGAAAGAUAAAAGUCCAAAGUAAUUUUCUUUACAACUUUAUGUGACUCAAAAUUUGUAAACUGUAUGAAGUCUAUAUUCUCUACUCUAAAAUUUUCAUGAUCACCUUAUAUAUGUUUAGAGUAAUAAUGCAAAAAUAUACUGUAAAAUAUUAAACUAAACAUACUACUUUAUAUCAUGAAUAAACAAACGAGUAGAACAGAAAUUAUAUAUAACAAAUACCAAAAGUUAUACAUAAUUUUAAUAUAUAGACUUCCUCUAAAAUAAGUCACAUUGCAAAGAAAAUUAUAAACCAAAAUUGUAUAUAUAUAAAUAUAUACCUUUUAUUUUCUUUUUCAUUAAAGAAUAAAUAAAUAAAUAAUCCCUUUUAUUUUGUGUGUUGGUUGCACACCAAGGCAGCCCCUCAUGUGGAAAAAUUCUAGAAUGCAACGGGUAUAUUAGUGACGUGGCGUAACAAACCAAUCAAAUUAAUCCUUUUAAGAAUAUAUGUCCCAUCAUGAUUGUAAAAAAGUAUUUUUAUUGUACUUUUGUUUAAAAAGAAGGAAUGUGAUUGGCUUGUUAUUGAUGACGUGGUGCAAGUGUGACAGUAUAGAAUUCCUCCCUCAUGUGUGUCUCGUACGGCCCUAAUGGGUCGUAUGGCAGUCACAAAAUUUCUCUUUUUUUUUUUUUUUUUUUUUUUGUUUGACUGCCACCUAGGCAGCCCCAUUACGGGCUGCCUAGUGCCCGUUGUGCGCCGCGCCUUGUGCGCCCGGGUGGCGUGGUGGCGCGAGUCCGCCAGGCUGCCCCAUUGCCCCCCUCUUUUUUUUUUUUUUUUUUUUUUUAAAUCGCUUGAUGCGGCCCAUCCGUGACGUCGUUACUCCGAACGCCGGUCUCGAUUGAGGCUGGCCGACGUCACCAUUAACGCAAACCAAUCGACAAAAUUUAUUUAUUUAUUUAUUCUUUAAUAAAAAGAAAAUCAAACGAAAUCCAGAAAGAAACGAAAAUCCGGCAAAAGGUUCUGCUCUGAUACCACAUGUUAUAAACUCUAUAAAAAUUAGAUCGUACCUUCUGCCAUAAUUUCGAUUUCUGUACCCGAUUUAUAAGCGGUGAUCCUUUCUCGUGGUUCGUCCUCGUUCGUGAUCUGCAAGAAGACGGGACGUUUCGAGUCUAAUUUCCUUAUCGCCGGAGAUGGAGUCGUCACAGACAAUUGGAUUAGGGUUAGACCGGGACUCCCGUAUGUUACAUAUUUAUAUAUAACUUAAUGUAAAGAUGUUAAAUCACGUCCGUCCAUCAAGGACGUGUCCAGAUACAUCCUAACCGUAAGAUCUAAAAUAUCUUUAUAAAUCGACUUAAAUAGAUUGACCGUAUCUUUAUGGAUCGCCUUAAAUAUAUCACGUGGGCCACAUCCAACAUAUGUAUCAUCGCCGGUACAGAAAAGACAAAAAAUUAGAGAAGAAAAAAGAAGAUGAUGAAAUUUAUUGUUAAGAUAAAGUUGUCCAGCUUCAAAAAAAAAAAUUACACUGUUUGAAAAGAAUAUUGCACUUUUUAAGACGAAUAUUACAUUUUUAAAAUGAAAGUUACUUUUUUUGGAUGAAAGUUGUACACUUUAUUUUAAUAAUGCAAAUUAACAUUUAACAAUAAUGUGGGGCCCCUAUCCCCUUUUGAGGAGAAUAUUGCACUUUUUAAGACGAAUAUUAUAUUUUUAAAAUAAAAGUUACUCUCUUUAGAUGAAAAUUGUACACUUUAUUUUAAUAAUGCAAAUUAACAUUUAACAAUAAUGUGGGGCCCCCAUCCCCCGGCCCCUAUCCGGUCAAUCAAGGACACGCUCAAGGUGGAGGCAGCGGCAGCGGCCCAAGCGGGAGGCGGAAGGCUAAGGCCGAGGAGCUUUUCCGGCCGCUUGAUGGCGCAUGUGUGUCUGUGCACCGCCGCCUCGUUGAUCUCUUCAACGAGUCGGAUUUUUUUUCAUUGCAGCCAACGACUUCCUCGUCGAUGUUGAUGUCGUAGUCGAUGGCUUCCAAGGCUUCAAAUAAUGUUUAGUUGCAAUACACUAUUAUUAAAUGUUUAUUUACAUUAUUAGAACAAAGAAUGUAAUUUUUUUUCAAUGUGAGCAACUUUUACUCAAAGAGUGCAACUUUUGCCUUAACAAGUAUAACGUUUGUUUCAAAUAGUGUACUUUUUUUAAAAAAAAGUGCAACUAUAUCUUAAUAGUGUAAUUACAUAUGCUUUUUCUUUUUUCUCUAUUUUUUGGCAUUCAUUUAGCAGAUGAUAUAUAAUGAUUUUUCAAAAAAAAAUAAUAAUUAUUCAUUAUUUUUUAUUUUUUUUUAUUUUUUAUACUCUGCAUUUUUUUUCACUCCUUGGAGAAGCGCGAAUGCGUCUUCGUCCUUCCUUUCAUGAGCAACAGCGAGCACUGCCUCGGUCACGACUUAUCACCUUUGUCUGCUCUGUCCUCACCUCACCUGUGCCUACUCCUCCUUCUCCUCCUUCUCCUUCUCCUCCUCCAACGUCGGUGGAGAAAGAGGAGGUUGCGCCGUUCUCGUUACCGUCACCGAGGGCCGCAGAGCACGAAAGUAGGAAGAAAAAGAGAGAAAAAAAUGGCGAGAAAGAAGAAGAUGAAACAUACAGAAAAAGACGAGUGUGAAAAAGAAAGAGAGAAAGAGAAAUAAAAGUAUUUUUUGGUCAGUUUAUUAAAAAUUCGAACUAAAUCUGAAAAAUCAAAAAAACGGUCUAUUUUUGUAAAAUUUUAAAAUUGAUGAAUUUUUUAUGCAAAUUGGCCGAUAAAUUUCACACGAUUGGAUACAUUAGCAGAUAAAUCUUUUAAAAGUGUUUUUAAUGAUUCGUUAGCUGCAAUACAUUACAAUCAGAGCAGAGAUGAUUACUUAAAAAAAAAAAAUCAAGAAGCAAACAAAUUAUUUUUUUUUCACAAAUAAAUAUCUUGGACAUAAGAAUUAAGGGUUUGUUUGGUUCAAGAGUGGAAUUGAAAUGAAUAAUGGAAUGUGAAUGAGUUGGAAUGGCAAUUGGAUUGCCCCACUCCCCUAACACGUUUGUUUUAUUUCUGGAUUGAAAAUCGGAAUGAAUUAUUCCUAUUUCACUGUUUGGUUGAUACAAAGUACAAAAAAAUAGAAUAAUAUAAUACUAAUUUUACUUUUAAAUAUAAUUUUAUAAAACUAUCUAAAAUUUAUUAAAAAAAAUUAAUACUACUCUCAAGUUAGAGCUAUGCCAAAAAAAAUUGAAUUUAUUUUAAAAAUUUUUAUGCAAGAAAUUACAAAAAAAAUACCAUUUUUUUUAAUAAUGAGAAAAGAGAGAAAAGAUCGGUAUAGGAAGAGAAAGGAUGGAUAAGAUGGAGAAAUGUUGGGCUAGGCUUGACGAAGAGGUGAGUGGUUUCCAAGCCCGGAUUGAAACUUCAAUUCAGGCUUGGAGACCGGAAUCAAUUUGUAAGCUAAUGGAUCAUUCCCAUUCCGGAUCGAAAUGGGAGUCUCAAACCGAUUCUUGUGAACCAAACAAAAUUAGUAGGAUUUGAUCAAACCGAUUCCCAUUCCGGAUCCAAAAUGUACGAACCAAACAUGUCUUAAAUGUUAAUCGAAUCUCCCAAAAUGAUUCCCAUUCAGAGGGUAAGGGAGUCAACUUUGAUUUCAGAAGAGAUUGAAAAAAGAACUCUGUUAUUUUUUACUAACAAUUAUUUAAAUUUAAAUAUUAAUCAUGUUUAAUUUUAGAAUAAAUUAUAAUUUUGAUUAAAAUUUGAAUUAUGAAAUUUAAUUUUAAUUUUAAAUUUCUUAAGUUUAAAUAUAAAUUCUAAUCUAGUUUUGAUAUUUGAAUUUAGUUGAAAAUUUAGGUUUUGAGUUUGAAUUAAAAUUUGAAUGGUAUAUUCAAAUUUUAAGUUCAAAUGUGAGUUCAAAGUUGGAUUCAAAUUUUAAUUACGAACUUAGAUAGUAAAUUUGAAGUCUAAUUAAAAAUUAAUUUUGUUGAAUUUUAAUUUGAAUGUGAUUUCAAUUGCAAUUCAUCUCAUGAGCCAAACAAAAUUAGGAGUUUUCAUUAUUCUGUUUUCGAUUUCAAUUCAUUUUUAUUCUGAUUCCAUUUAAUUUUUAUUUUGAACCAGACACAGCCUAAAAGUACAGACAAAGUGUUAUAUCUUCACAAAACACCAAAAUAAUUAAGUGCAAAUUAUUUGCCAGUAAAAUGCUACAUUUAAUCACACUAUGACAUAUAAAAUAUGGUACUUUACUAUCAUGCGAUUUACGAAUAGUAGUAAUUUGCUACUUUACUAAAUGACAAAUUCUUAUGGUGAAAUAGAAAUAAAAAUGAUAAGCUCACAGAAUAGUGUGAGGUCAAAUGCUCCUCGAACCCUUUCAUUCCUUCAAACGAAGUUGUCCACCAAGCUUCUAGCACCAUAAAAGAAUUUCUAAAAAAAUUACAAGUUUCGAACGAACAUCAUACAAAGAUACUUAAAAAUAAGCCUAAAUAGAUAGAAAAUUACCUUUACCUAAGGAGAACUUGAUCAAAGUCCCAAUUGAAGCUACAAAGCUUCAAAUCUAACCUAAAUGAGAGUUUUACACUCAUCAAUUUAGCCCCAAAGGCUACAAAUCAAAAAGACCCAAAUAAAACCCUAAUUUUUUCAAAAUUAGGUUUUCAUCUCCAAAUCUUAUAAAAAUCAUAAAUAAAUGUUGCAAGAAGAGUACUAACCUUCGAGAAAGCUUCAAAUCAAGUUAUCUUGAGUUGGGGUUAAAGAUUGAUCCACCAAGAAGCUCAUCUCUUCACAUCAAAGCUUCCUCCAAGGUCCACAAGCUUGCCAUCAUGAAAAGGAAGAAGAAUAGGAGAUCAAAAUCGAAAUUAAAAAAGGUAUGGGAGAGAAAUCUAGAGUGAGAAAGGGAAAAAACCUUACCUCUCCUCUUCUCCAAACUCAGCACAAAAAAGGGCUCUAGGGGAGAAAGGGAUUAUAUAUACAAGUUGUAACAAAUUUCAAAAAGCCCCUCCAAAAUUCAAAAAUAACAAACUGCACGAAAUGUAAUUUUCUACACUGCGUACCGGUACUCGGGCAAGAGUACCGGUAUCCAGCAAUAAAUCCUGUGCAACCGAGCCUCUGCCAGGCAAUUUUUAUUACGGCGUACCGGUACCCGGCCAAUGCUGUACCAGUACUCGGCAGCCCGCAGCUCAAACCCGAGAGCAACAUCUCUCGGUUACGCACUGGGGUUUCGGUACCUCUCUGUGGUAUCGGUACCUCUCUGUGGUACCGGUACCCAGCACCCCAAAACCUGAAUUUUUAGAUUUUGGUGCUAAAUACUCCUUCUCGCGUUCUCGCAACACGAGUAAUGGGUCGGUACUCAGUCAACGACCUACAGAAACACUAGGAAUAGCUCAAAACGCUAUUCUAACACUGAAACCUCGCAAUUUACUAAAGUCCAGUGUGCUACAUUCUUCUCUCCAAAAAAGUAGUUUCGUCCGCGAAACUAAAAAUCAACCACAACACAAUUUCAUCCGAAAAAGGUAGAAGAAGUGCUCAAGCAGCGCACAAUCCAGUUCCCAAAAGUCUCGAGCAUGCCAGAUUGCCCCAAGACAUCUUCACAUUGGGAAACCCGCGACUCCAUACGUUCAACACCUCGCAAGCCAAAUCUUCCACGAUUACUCCUCGAACUCAAAUCCUCAUAAUCACCUCUUCUCGGUGCUCGUCCGACAAAAAUAUUCUUUUAACGUUCCAAGUUCUUUUUAAUAUACCUCUAGAGUUAAAUUUUAUUAGUCAACUGUUAGGAAUAAUCAUUAUCUUUGUAAAUUACUAUUUUGUCAUUUCAAAUAUACUCUUCUAUCAUCAUCAACUUUUUUCUUAUUUGCCCUUAAAUUUGAGGCAAAAGAAGUAUUUUAACUUUUGACCAUUUACCCCUCCGGGAUCACCAAAUUUUUUUUAUUUGUCUUUAAGUUAGGCGCAAAAGAGUUAUUUUGAUUUCUUUUUAACUUUGGUAGAAAUUUAAUUUCGGGUUUAAUUCAAGAUGACUUAACGGGCUCUGACAGUCAGUAGGAUUAUUUUUGAAUAACGGAGAAAUAAACGAGGGGUAUAUUUGAAAAAAAAUAAUAAUAAUUAAGAGUAUAUAAAAUAUUUCAGAAUUUUUGAGAGAUAUAUAAGCAAUUAUCUCUAAAAUGGAAAUAUGCUUAACUGUAGUGGGGACUAAUUGAAGCUUACGCUAUAAUAUGACUAUGGGUCCGUAUUAAUUUGUUGCAAAAGAUAUUAACAUAAUGAAUAUGAGUCCAACUCAUUGAAGCUUAAGCGUCUCUAUAAGAAAGCUUCAAGAAUGAGUACAAACAAGGAUACAACUCAAGUAACUAAACAGGUAAGAAGAUAUGAAAUGAGAAGGAAAACUAAAUUUUGGCAGAAGUGCUGCUAAGUCGAUGUAACGAUCCGAUCCGCUAGCAAUAAUAACUCGUCGGGCCGAGAUCAUCGGCUCAAAACCAGUUAUUAUUACUAGCAUGUAAGCCUCAUACAAAUUGAUCGGAAUCAGUAUUCCAUUCGAUGUGGGACUAUUGGGGCGUUACAGUCGAAGGCCUCAGAUGCAUCAGUUGCUGCAUCAGAUGCAUCAGUUCAGUUCAAUGAAAGUAGCAAGCAAUUAAAUUCUGAAAUACAUUACACCAGAUUUUGUGGUCGUAUUGCUGAGUAAGUUAGACAUAACAUUACCUACUACCUAAGAUCACAAGCACUGUAAAAGAUUCAAUAGUUAGCAAGAGGGAAAAUUCCACAAGACUAUAACAACCUAGGUAACAUAAAAAUUGAAGCAAAAUACAGUGAUGUGUCACUUCAGGUGGAGUAUUUCUAGUGUGUCUACUUUCUUGGACAUGUCCAUAAGGAACUGAAUAUUGCAUCUGUGCUCCUAUACAUUCCGUUCAGAUAGAAAGAAAAGAAGAGAAGAGAAAAGAAAGUUUGGAGAGAAUCAUGUUCUCUCAUUUGAAUGUGACGCGAGAGGAGAGCAGAGGGGAACAGGAGAGAAUAAUAGAGGAAAUAAGUUCCCGAACUGUCCAUUCUUUUUCUCUCGAUAAAUGAAAAGAAAGGGAGAAACGAAACUAACACUAUCAAAUACAUAUUUUCUCUUCUUGCUUUCCUAUGCAUCCAAACCACAAAGACCAACUUUACUUUCUUUUCUCUUCUUAUCUCUACCUCAUUGUCGUUCUUUUUCCACUCCAUUUGCUCCAUCCAAACAAAGCAUUACCGCAAUAAAAAUAAUUACAUCGCUAAAAUACAAAAUAUCAAAUGAUUGUGGCAGAACAAUUACGUCUGUCAUAGAUUGCGAUGUUUGGGGUACGAGGUACGAAGGCAGAAUGUGCAAGUAGAAUGAGCACAUUUUCAAUUGACAGAAAUAACUCAGUAUCUUCGAUUUUUGUGGUCUGAUAACUGCAGGAGAUAGAAAUAACAUACAAACUAGGAUUAUAUGCUUUACAAAAUACGUACCAUGAUGGUACAGCUAUAACAUUCAAUCUAAGUCAAUUCUCUAUAUACAGCAGAAUUCAAUGCUAAGAUACAGAUGGUAAAGCUUACAAACACAAACAACUACAUGAUGGGGAACAAUGCGAGUCAAUUGCAAAAUCUUCAUGCAGCAUAUGCAGCAAAAUCCUACAUAAUCACCUCCAGAAUUAGUUGUUGUCUUGCUGAUGGAAUGAAUCAGAGGUAGGACAAUCAACAAAGAAUACAUUAUCAUGAAUCCAGCUUCUAAGGAUUACUUUACAUGUACGUAAUUGUUCAGCUGAUUCAUUUCAAGCUUUCUUGCACAUUCUUGCAACACCCCCUCUAAGGAUGAUUACAAGAUAAAAGAAAUGAAUAGCUUGUGUGUUGUACGAUAUUGAGUAGACAAUGGAAAGAGCUGGGACAUUCAGUCAAGUAUCCAUUGUUGGAAGAAUAAAUCUCGGAUUUAACAUCCAUCCAACACCUUCCCAACUUGAGUUUCAGCUUGAAGAUGUUACACGACUAAUUGCUGAUCAUCCUGAUUUUUAUCUUCAACGGAAUCAAGGAAUUACUGUGUUUCCUGCAUUUUACGGUCACUCAAACUCCAGUGAGGAUUUAUCAACCUAGCAAAUGGCAAUCAUUAGAUUAGUCGCAUAUACUGAAAUAACCAACCAAUAAAUUGCAAAAUGAGUAUGAAGACAACUAACUUUGCAAAGAAGAUAAGAUUGGCAUACUGAAUCAUGCUUGCUUCGUCACAAUAUUGCUCUCUUCUCAAUGUGUGUAAUCUUGUUUGCUGACCACUUCCUGACACCAGAUACCAUUGAGGGACACCUGUCGAUAUAUAACUCCUCCAGCGAUAAGAAAACAACACAAUCCCCUGAGUCUGGGCAGUUUUCAACAGUCAAGCUUUUGAGCGAGGUGAGCGACUGUAAAAUCAAAGUAUGCAGCUUUCACAGUCCUUUUUGAUGAGAUUCUUAAGCACUAUUAGAUUUUUCAGUAAGAAAUCCACUUGUACAGCACCAGAGAUUGUCAAUGAUUGCAGAGAUGUGAGACAUAGCAGCCAUUUUGAUACAUUUUCGAUGGAGCUUGGCAAAUGAGCUCUUCCGAUUCAUAUAUCUAAGCUUCGCUGGGAGUUAUCAUCACGGCUGAUUUUGUACUCAAGGAGAUACCAAAAGAGGAAGGAAAUGAAGGGGGUUCAUCACGGUAGCCGAAAUUCAGUGCAUAAAACUGGGUCAGAUGAGGCAGAAUUUUCGAAAAGAACAAACUUAAGUCGUUAUACUCAAUCUCUAAUAUGGAGGCCAAUUGUGCUGAUGUUUUUAUCUACUGCUGCAGUGAAAUGUGUAGCGGCUGAUUCAUAACAUGCGGACAAUAUGUAAUCUCGAUAUCUUUAAGGGAUGAACGAAUUCUGCUCUCCUCUGCAAGGCAGAAUUCAUAGCAGUAGCUGAGGUGAAGGCUUAGAAACACUCUAUAGGUCAGGGAUUGGAAAGCUUGGAACAUCUGCUGAUGGUUAAAGUCCUUAUCUAAUUCGGAAAGUGCGGCUGCGAAAACCUUUCUUGUUGCAUCAUCAACUCCGAGCACUAAAAAAGGUACCAGAGGCAGCAAGAACAAGGAGGAUGCAACGAGUCGGUAGCUGUGCUCUCUGACGUGCCAUCUUAGCUUUAGCCGCCACUAAUUGUUUUAAGACCUUGCAGAUCGAGUCCCACAAACUUCAAUUAUCCUCACUUCAGGGGGAAAGGAAGGCCUUGUCUCCAAAUUGGGGCAGUCCUUCAUAAAUAGCUCAAUCAGGCAAGGGAAAGAUUGAUCUUCCUUUCUUGCCGACCACUCCUUCCACUUUGGCAUGUGACAGAAAGACAGCUUCCUCAGUGACGGGAACUUCACUUCUUUGGUGUUUCCAUAGAACUCGUGGCCAACCUUUGUCACACCAUACAUCCUGCAUAUCUCUAGUUUCUCAAGAAAGAAGAGAUGGCCGAGGCUUGGAAGUUGUUUCAAAUACGGACAAUCAUGUAGCUUAAUAACUUUUAAAUUCGAGGGCAUCGCCUUGUUAAUCCAGCAUGGAGUAUUGAUACCCCUGUAUCGUGCAAUUGUCAGCUUCCUUAUAUUUGGAUGAGGUUGGAGUUUUUCAAGCACUCUCAGAUCUAGUUCUGAGCUUGCAGAAACAAUAUCCAUUCUGGACCAUUUCAGUUUCAAGAUCUCAAGGCGACGCUUGUUCGCUAACAUCGCUUUGCUGGCCUCAGUCUCACUCUCGACGUUCUCAAGACCUCGAAUAGAAAGGCAUCCUCGUAGCUCAUUCAUUUCCUUCAGCUCCCCGAUCCUAUGGUCCGUGCAAUCGAAUUUUUCUAGCUCCUGAAGCAAAGUUAAGCUUCCAAUACCUGCUACUUUUGUUUGUCGACCUUUUCUGGUGAAAGAGGGUAGUGAUCUAUCAAUCUUAAGAUGCCUUAAGUUUGUUAAUUUGCAGAUACCUUCUGGCAGGUUCUUCAGCGAUUCACAUUGCAACAGCACCAGCGUUUGAAGAUUCUGCAGUUCACACAAUGAGGGAGGCAAAUCCUCCAGCGGAUUAUUAGAAAGAUUAAGGUAGCGGAGAUGUUUUAAAUUGCUAAUGCAUUGUGGCAACAUUUUUAUUUUCUUGUUCCUUAAAUCUAAAACCCGCAAGGAUGUUAAGCUCUUGAACAAAUUCCCAAGAGUAUCAUCCAACACAGUUUCAUAAGUAUCUAAGAAUAUUAAAGUGCGCAUGCUUGUCAGAUUCUCUAAAUAGUUUUGUGCCGAUUUGUCCAGACAACGAAAAAUCAGUGACAAAUGGCGAGGACUUUGAGAAAGUCCCGAUAAUUCACCAGAGGAUUCUAUUCUGCUACAUUCAUCCAUAGAGACAAAUCGCGCCAGAUCGUUCAUCAAGGCAGGCAUUACGUAUUUGUCCUGUUUACGUAGAAAGAUUCCCAUGCUGAUUAAGUGAUCAAAAUAUUCAUUUCCAAUAUCUUCGACUCUUUUCUUAUCUCCCGAUUGAAUGAAACCCUGGCCCAUCCACAUUCUGACUAGGUCGUCCUUAUCGAAAUCAUACUCCUUUGGAAAUACAGAACAAAAGGCAAAACACUGCUUCAGAUGUGCAGGUAGGUGAUUGUAAGUUAGUUUUAGAAUGGGCAUUAUAUCAGAGUCAUUUUGUUGCAUUUGCCAUAUUUCGGUUUUCAAGAAAUCCUUCCAGUCGUUCUUUCCUAAUUUUGAGUUACAGAGUUGGCCGAGUGUCUUGGCCGCUAAAGGCGACCCGUUCAACUUCUCUACUAUCUUCUUACGCAUUUCUUCUAUUACGCGGAUGCCCUUGGUUUCCUUACCCAUAAAAGCAUGGUGUGUAAACAAGGACAAAGAAUCUUCCUCCGACAAUCCGUCCAAGAUAUAGGGAGACAUCAUUCCCUUUAUCCUGGCAACGCUGCUGUUUCGCGUUGUUACAACAAUCUUACUGCCUUGCAUCUUUUCCGCUAAAGGUGCCAGCAGAUUCUCCCAUUGAACUUGGUCAUCACUCCACACAUCAUCUAGGACGAGUAGAAACUUUUUCAACAUUAGCUUCUCCUUAAGACUCCUCUGGAGCAUGUCCCAGUUCGACGUAUCACAAUGUCUCCCAAACGACGCAGAUUCCACAACCUCCUUCGUGAUCCUUCUCGCGUCGAAUGCGUUCGACACGCAGAUCCACAUUCUUAGAUGGAAAUAUCGUCUGACCCUCUUAUCGCUAUACACUAGUUGAACAAGGGUAGUCUUCCCAACCCCGCCUAUACCUACUACAGGAAGAAUAAAGGCAUCUUUCUUAUCUCCACAUUCCUUGUCAUACGAGGUCAGAAUCUUAAUAAUCUUCAGCCUGUCUUCCUCCCGACCAACUAACUUAGACUCAUCUACGAAGGAACCGGUCAACCGGUUGUUCAGGAUCGGAGGGUAACCCCCCGGCUUAUCAUCUAGCUCUCCUAGUUUAAAGUUGCCCCACUCCUUCACCACGCGGUCCAGCGUCUCUCUAGUAGUGUUAAUUCUAUGACAAGUUUAGUACCAGCGAAUAUGUAUCGGCGGAUGAUUGCUUACCCGAUGCUGCAUUUUCUUUUCUUUUUUAGUUGGAGGACCGUGGUGUUGAAGAUUGCGUCGAGGCAGUCGUCGGCUUCGUAGGGCGGCGGUCUUUGAGCUCCCUCGGAGCCACAGAAUGAGCCGUGAUCAUAGGACCGCCUGCCUUCGCCUCGGCCUGGGCUGACCACGCCCUGGGUUUCAGAGAAUGGUCAUGUUGAUCCCUUUUCACGUCGGCCACCACGAUCCUCCGACGGGCGUUCCACUUCUCCUGCCAGAAGUUAGCAUAUUUGGCGAACAAUGUUAUUGAGGAAUGUUAUAAUGAACUUCCGAUACGCUGCCGCAAAGACAGAAUUGGCUCCAUUAGUUUUCCGUCUCCGAUCCAUCUUCACGAGCACAAGAAACAAAAAGUUUUUGAAGGAAUCAGAUUCUCCGUGUUUCUUUGCAGCGACUUGAUCAUUAGCCCACUUUCUAUAUAUAACAAAUGCCGAUUUGAGUGAUGCUACCAUCUUGAUAUUAAAAAAAUUGAAAAAAGGCCGCCAAUGAAAGUAAGUGUAUCGUAGAUGUUGGUUGGCCAUUCAACUAGACCAAUGUAGUCAACACUUAAAAAUGAUCAACAAAUUUAUUCCUCCAGGAGGUGACGGCGAAGCUAUUAUUGCUGCUGCUUUAUGAAGCGACGAUUGUUGCCGAUCUUUAUGGAAUAUACUCCCCAUUUUCGUUAAAUAUGUUGACUUAGAUGGCAAAGUCUUCACAAAUUAAUUAAUUGCAUAAAGCUUGAGUAGUGGGAAUAGAGAAGAGAAGGGAAGGAGGCCCGCCCACCGGUAGUAGCAAGUAAUGAGGUGCUGUCAGCACUCGUCGAUCUGCUGGCAUCUUCUGUCCUCUUUCUUCAUCUAAUCUGCUGGUCUGUCUUCUCGACUUCUCGUUAGGGUUGUUAGGAAUUAAAAAAAAUAUUAAAAAAAAUAAAAAGUACCUCUCAGAUCUGCCAAAACUUUUUAAAAAGUUUGAAAUUACCAUAUAAUUAACGGUUAAUUGACCUUUUCGCCUUCUUUUUCACUUUAAUGUCCAUUUUUUUUUUUCAAUCCAAUCUCCAAUCUUUUCGUUUCUUUGAAACUAUGCAUCAGUAUUUAGCCAACUAAAUUGGAUUGCAAUAUUUGAUUGCAAUAAUUUAACAAGUUUAAACUAAAAUUUAUUACAAAUUAAAUUUUAAGAAGUAAAAUGUUUCUAGCCACACAGUUUGAGGACCAACAUGCUGUGACUGUGAUUCCUUGGUGCUGUUCACUUUUGGGAUCACGACGCGUCGAACUGCUUCUAUCCUUGGGGACGGACCGGUAUUCGGUCCAACGCGUGUUGACUCUGGACUUACAGGUUAUCCGAACCCUUUAAACUGAGAAGAAAUUAAGCAAGCUGUAAUUCUAACUGGGGUGACAACGCGCCGGACCGGGACGGAUUCCCUUUAAAAGUUUCUUCAAAACGUUCUGAGAACUGUUAAAGAGGAACAUGUUGAGUGGUCUUCCUGGAGAUUAUGAGGGGAGGCUCUCCCACGGCAGCCAUCGAUUAUACUUCAUUUGCCUUAUCCCUAAAAAGGAGAGGGCGUGCAGUCAACGACUUUAAACCUAUUUGUUUACUGAAUGGGAUCCAAAAAAAUUAUCUCUAAGGUUUUGGCUAACAGACUAAGGACAGAUUAUGACGAAUUUUAAUUUCCCCACAACAAUCGCCUUCCUGAAAGGCAGGAACAUUACUCUUGACAAGCGUUCGCAGCUUUGGUUCCAGAACUAAUUGGUUUGGGGGAGUAAGAAGGUUAUGAAGGUGUCGGGAUAAAAGUGGAUUUUGAAAAGGCAUACGACAGGAUUCACUGGCCAUUUUUAUUUCAAAUUCUACGUUGGUGGGGGUUCAACGACAAGUGGUGUGGUUGG